Molecule: long non-coding RNA, 50021 nt
Filed under: Citrus maxima (pomelo)
Lineage: Eukaryota; Viridiplantae; Streptophyta; Magnoliopsida; Sapindales; Rutaceae
Description: long non-coding RNA (CMAX_LNC001825)
Source: RNAcentral
ACGCCAACGGCCAGGAAUAGAGCAUGUGUUGAUAGUGCCUCCGGCUUUUCUCUUCUUUGCUUCAACAAAGCCUCCCUUGAUUAGUUGUUCUAAGUAACUCUCAGCAGUUGCCUCACUAUUGUCUGGAAUGAAACCUUCAGCUAUCCACAACUGAUAUAACUGCCUGGUGGAUAUCUCUAGGUGUGCGGCAAACACAGAUAAGUAGAGGAAACAAAGUUUCAAGCAAAAAGGUAAACUGCAACAUUUGAAGUACCGACGCGCAAAGGGUCGGCUGGUUGCUUCCGUUUUAUUUUCUUUUAAUGAGAUGCUUCCAUGAUAUAAGAUGGGGAAAGGCCAUCCUUUAUAUGUAGCUCUCAAUGGUCCUCCAGUGGGCACAAAAUCAAGCCCAAUGUUCUCUCCGUCUUCGAACUGAAAUGAGGUGACAAUCUCAAUUCGGCUGAGUGUGAUUAAUACUCUACUUCCAUUCUGAUUAUCCGGAAGUAUUUCUCGAAUAACAUCCCACAUAUCAAUUCUCCAUACAUCAUCAAUCACAAUCAAAUACCGCUUGGUCAUCAGAUAUUCAUGAAGAAUAACUUUUUUCAUUUCAUAAUUUUUAUCCAUUAUUUCACUCAACCUAGAUGAAGGCAUCAGACACUUAAUAACGAUAUCUAAUAUUUGGUCAGCAUCAUAUUCAUUUCUGUAAGGCUCUGAAAUCCAAGCGUGACAAUCAAAAUAAUGCUUCACAUAACUGCUGUUGUAAGCCUCUCCGGCGAAAGCCGUUUUGUCCAACCCAAUGCUAUCAAGUAUGGCCACCACUGAAUGCUGAGUUGGUCCCUCGAUCAAUAGAUCUAACAACUCCUCCAUUCUAUCAUCUAGGCCCACCGUGUUCCAAUUCUUAGAAGAUGAAGAUAUACCGGCUUCAGCUUCCAGAUUUUUGAAGGCAUCAAAGAUUUCGGAAUCGAUGUGCGGAACUUGUUGAGUCCGUUGUUUUAUAUCAAUGAUUCUGCUUUGGAGUCCUUGGAGAGCAUAAAAAAUGUCCUGGCUGCAGCUGCUUUGACUCUUCUGUUCACUAAUGCUGUUGAUGAAUGUGUCAAUGACCUUCUCAGAUUCAUACGUAAAGCAAUUGAUUUCGUCCAUAACGGUCGCCAGAUCUGGGUUUUCAAUUUCUCCGUGUCCUAUCUUUUCCCGCAGAAGGCAGGACGUUUCACAUUCAAAUUCACUUAGCCAAGAAGUAACGAUUUCAAUCUCGGCAUGAAGGUUCUGAACAGGUUGUUUUGCAGCAUCAGGCAACUUGACUUCUUCACCAGCUAACACCCUUCGCAGCCUCUCGGAAAAUAGUCUGAACUUGAUGUCCAUAUCUCCUCCUCUCUCUGAGUCACCCCGAAAUCAGUCCUGUAGCAUGCAAAGAAAUAAUUAAAAGAGAGAGGGGAAAAGGAAAAUAUGCUUUAAAGCUCUCAAUUCAAACAUUAGUGCUGGCUCCCGUACCUCCCUUCUCUUAGCUAGUUCUCCAGUCAAGAAGUUGAAUCAAGAUCGUUGACUCUCAAAUGAGAACAUAUCAAGGCAGAAUCUUUGUUUAAAAAAAAAAAAAAAAUCAUUGUUAAAACUUCUUAGCUCUUAAUUCAAAUAUUUAUGUGUCCGCUGAAACAUUUGUUGUUGAUGAAUGGAAUUGGUCUUAGGUUGACCGACGCAACUCUUUCUCUCAGCACUCAAGUAGUGUGAGCAUGUUAGUUUAGUCAAUAGUUUCUCCUAUACAUAAAUGAUGUUUUAUUAUAGAAUUUUGAUAAUAUGUACAAUGGGGAAGUAGCUGUAGAAAAGAGAUUGGGUUUUGGUUUAUGUGAUAUGGACUUGGAGCAUAAUAAAUUAUACAACUUGCAAUUAAAUCCAAAAUUGCAGUACUUCAUUACUUUUGUCUUCUGUGAAUAUAAAACACUGACUGUGUAAUCAUAGUACUUUUUUAAUAAGGACUAUGAUGAAAAUUAAAGACAAAUAAUGAUUUCAUGGAGUUAGUCACUGAGACACUGACUGCUAUAUCAUGAACAAGUUUUUCCGUGACUGUUUCUCGUGAAAAGGAAAUUUUUAAAAACUUUAUCAAUGCAGGUGAUGAAUAAAUAUGCUACCACUUGCAGCUAGGUUGGAGAAGAUGAGGGGAAGGUGACGCUAAUGAAUAAAUAUGCUACCACUUGCAAUUAAUAAAAUGCUAACCCUGUCUGGUAUGCUAGCUCUGUUCAUUGAAAGCAAAAGCAAUGGAAUCUUUGACCUUGCUGCCACAAGAUGAUUGUCAUGGAAGGCACCAAAGUUUCCAAGUAUGUAUGUAUAUCACACACACAUACUUGCAUGUAUGUAUAUCACAGAUAAAAUUUGUAUCCCAGGGUUAUAAAUGUGAAUUACUCACAUAAAUAUGCAUUAUUAAUCAUGUACGAUGCUCUCUUAUUUCUUCAACGAGAUUUAGAGAAAGUACUAAAUCCUUUGUAAAAUUUUAUAUUUAAUAUAUCUUCAUUUUAAAACUACAUCCAUAUCCCGCAUAAAUUUGGGGAUCAUUUUAGCAUUGUUUUUUAAGAAAUGCAAAUUGAUAAAGAGUUCUAACCGCGACAUAAGGGUGACAAAAAUAAUAGUAAAUUGUGCAAUGUUACAAUGUUAAUUCAAAAUAGUUAUAAUUUUUUAUUUAAUACGGUAAAUAAAAUUUACAGUUGUUUUGUAAUCAUUGUAUGAUUCUUUGAUUCAAAUAUCAUUAUUAUAUGAACCCUCACCUUUUUGAAAGGAUUACAUCUUAAGAAACUAUUUAUAAUUAUUUUCAUUUGAGUCAUUAGUGUUAAAAAUAUAACAAUGAAAUUAAUGAUAGUCGAAUUCCAAGUAGGAAUGACAGAAAAAUCCGGUCUAACUAGAGCAUGUUUUCUAAGUACUCUGGCUGGACUUGGACUUUGGUUUAAAAGCCCGAACCCAACCAGAAAGCCCAAAAAAUAUUGAAAAUUUUAAAAAUCUAUAUUACUUUAAUUAAAAUACAACUUUUUACAUAUAUGUAAUCCACUUAUAGCAUAUAUUUAAAGUUUUAAGUUAUUUGAACCCAACUAUUAAAGCCUAAUCUAACAAAGAAAAAACUAAAUUUUAUAAACUAUAAAAUUUGUAAAAUAUAAUGAAAAAAGUUUUUUUUUUUAAAAUACAUAAUGUAUACUUCAAGCUUUUUGGCUUGGCUUUGGAAAAAAAAAAAAAAAACCAACGUUUUGUCAUCCCAAAUUCCAAGCCUUAAAUACUUCUCCAAAUGUAUAGUACAACAUUGUAUAAUAGGACCAAUCACAUGGAGAUGAUUUGUAAAUUUUUGCACGCAAUUUUAAUAUGCACAUCAGAAGAGAGGCAGCAAUCUUAGUUGAUACUUUUAUUUGACAUAUGAUGUAAGAAAUGAAACAAAGAUUGUUGUUAACAUAAAUUAUUCUUUAUUGAUUUUGAUGAUAACAAACAUGAUUAAGAUUAAUUAAUCUUUUAAAAACUCAUCAUAAUUUUCAUCUAUUUUGACAAGUUUCAUAAAGUUUUUUUAUAAAGAUUUGGAGACAAAACAGUCAUCUUGCAAAAUAGUUCACUGCAGCAGUUUUUGUGGUAAACGGCGAUCCGACAUGUGUAAUAAACGGCUUGCCGAUUUCAAGCAGAAAUGGAGAUUAGCCUCUGGACGUAAACGGCGAUCCGACAUGAAUAAUAAACGGCUCGCCGAUUUCAAGCAGAAAUGGAGAUUAGCCUCUGGACGUAAACGGCGAUCCGACAUGUGUAAUAAACGGCUCACCGAUUUCAAGUAGAAAUGGAGAUUAGCCUCUGGACGUAAACGGCGAACCGACAUGUGUGAUAAACGGCUCGCCGAUAUCAACCAGUAGCCUCUGGACCUAAACGGCGAUCCGACAUAUAGGUAACGGCGAUCCGACAAUUUGAAAAAUCAGCCCAACGGUCAUAUUGACCAGUCAAACGGCGAUCCGACAUCUAGCUAACGGCGAUCCGACAGUGUACAGAAAGUCAAUAACGGCUAGUUUUCAGCUGCAGCUAUAAAUAAGCUCAUUCAAAUUCAAACAAAGCUUGAUCACAACACGACCAUUGAGCUAAUAUUCGAGAAUACAAUCUUCAUAGAGCUUAGAACACAUUCUUGCUUCAUCUAUUCACAAAUUAAGCAUCAUUGUGUAAUCCUAUAUAUUGUGAGAGGCAAAUCAAUUUGUAAUCUUUUACUUUGAGUGAUUGUAAGUGUUGGGAUACACUUGGGUUAAGAGAUUGGGGAUAAUCUCUUGUUGUAAAGGUUUAUUGACACCUUGGAAGUCAAGUGUAAGCAUUUGAAGCCUUGGAGGCUUGCUUAGUGAAAUCUUCAAGCCCAGUGAGCUUGGAGGAGUGGACGUAGGCGGGGAUUGCCGAACCACGUAAAAAUUAUUGUGUUUGCUCUCUCUUCCCUUACUCCUUUACUAUUGUGCUUUAUUGAAUUUAUUGUUUUUGAUUCCAUUAAGGCAUUAGAUUAAAUUGUUGUGUGAUUUGCUUAGCUUAAUUUUAAAAUCCCAAUUCACCCCCCCUCUUGGGUUGCACACUUGUAUUUCAUUUGGUAUCAGAGCCUUGUUCUCUUAUUAAGACUUAAUUGUCUAGAGUAAAAGAUCCAUGGCAACCCUAAAUGACUCAACCUUUAGAGAAGGGCAAUCUACAACUAGACCACCAUUCUUUGAUGGAAAUGACUAUGCUUAUUGGAAAACUAGAAUGAGAAUCUACUUGCAAGCCUUAGAUUAUGAAAUUUGGAAAGUUGUUUGUGACGGUUCAUUCAUGCCUAUGUUUAAAGAUGAAGUAGGAGAUGAUAUUCCUAAACCAUCAAGUCAAUGGAGUGAGUUAGAAAAGAGAAAAAUGUCUCUAAACUCCAAGGCUAUGAAUGCUUUGUUUUGUGCCCUUGAUAAGAAAGAAUUCCAUAGAGUAUCUAGUUAUGAAAGUGCAUAAGAGAUAUGGAACAAACUUGAAGUUGUCUAUGAAGGGACAAAUCAAGUAAAAGAGUCUAAAAUCAGUAGAUACACUCGUCAAUAUGAGUUGUUCCAAAUGGAACAAAAUGAAAAUGUGUAUUCUAUGUAUACUAGAUUCACGGACAUAGUGAACACCCUAGGUGCCUUAGGGAAAAUCUUCUCAAAUAGUGAGAAAGUUAAGAAAAUCAUUAGGUCACUUCCAAAAGAAUGGAGACCUAAAAGAACCGCCAUUGAAGAGGCCAAAGAUUUAAAUACUUUACCUCUUGAUGAUUUAAUUGGUUCUCUCAUUUCAUAUGAAGAGGAUUUAGCUGCAGAAAAAGGACAUGAUGAGAAGAAGAAAAGCAUUGCUCUCAAAGCUUCAAAAUAUGAGAGUGAUGGGGAGAGUGAACCAGAUGAUGAAGAGCUAGCCAUGCUAGCAAGGAGGUUCAGAAAAUUCUUCAAGAAAACCGGAGAGCGAAGAAAUUUCAGAAACUUCAAGAACCUUAGGGAGAAGAAGGAGGCAAUCACAUGCUAUGAAUGCAAGAAGCCUGGACAUAUAAGAUCAGAGUGCCCACUAAUCAACAAACUCAAGAAGAAAGCAAUGGUUGCAACUUGGGAUGAUAGUGAGGAAGAAUCAAGUGAUGAAGAAGGAUCGCAAGAAGUAUCAAACCUAGCACUCAUGGCAAUAUGAGGGAAUUAUGAUCUCAAUGAGGUAAGUGAUCCCACCUAUGAUGAAUUGUAUGAUGCUUUUAAAGAUUUACAUAAUGAGUUGAUGAAGAUUGGUAAAAAGAAUGUAUGUCUUAAAAAGGAAAUGGCAAAGCUUAAAAAUGAAAAUGAAUCUCUAAAUGCAAGAAUUGUUUGCCUAGAAGUAGGAAACAAAACAUUGCAUGAUGAAAUUGCAUUAUCAAAUGAAAAACCUAGCAUCUUACAUGAGCAUUUAGAAUCGCACAUAGAUGAGUUGAAAAAUGAGAACGAAAUGCUCAAGAAAAAGAGUAAUGAAUUGAAUGAAAUUGUUUUAAAAUUUACAAAUGGGCAAAAGAUGUUGGAUAAUAUGCUUAACUCACAAAAAUGUGUUUUUGAUAAAGGAGGACUUGGAUAUAAGCCUAACUUGAAGCAAAAGUAUUAUAAGAAUUAUUUUGUUAAAUCUACCUCCACAAAUGAUCAUAAGAUUGUAUGUCAUUAUUGUAAUCAAAAUGGUCACAUGAAAUAUAGAUGUCCCGUGAAAAGGAAUGCAUAUUAUGGUGUCAAAUGCAUUUGGGUUCCAAAAGGAACCGUUGCUAACUCUCAAGGACCCAAAAAGUUUUGGGUACCUAAAACUUGAGAUUUUUUCUUGUAGGGCUUGAAGAAGAAGAAAAAUAAAUGGUACUUGGACAGCGGUUGUUCAAGGCACAUGACCGGAAACUAUGCAUGGUUCUCAAGCUUCACCAAAAUUGAAAAUGGUGGAGACGUAUCUUUUGGAGACAACUCAAAAGGAAAAAUUCUUGGAAUUGGAAAUGUUGGUAAAGUCUCUUCAACUCUAAUUGAGAAUGUAUGUUUGGUUGAGAACUUGAAACACAACUUAAUUAGCAUUAGUCAAUUAUGUGACAAAUGUUAUAAAGUUAUCUUUGAUAAAUUUAGUUGUGUUAUUGAGAACUCAUGUGAUGGCAAAACCUUAUUUGUUGGGAAUAGAUGUGGUAAUGUUUAUAUCAUUGACAUAAAAUGUGCAUCUACUCUUGAUAAAUGUUUUUCGGCAUUGCAUGAUGAUUGUUGGUUAUGGCACAGAAGGUUAGGACAUGCAAGUAUGGAUUUGAUUUCAAAAAUUUUGAAAGAUGAUUUAGUUAAAGGUCUUCCGAAAAUUGGUUUUCAAAAGGAUAAGAUUUGUGAAGCUUGUCAAUUUGGAAAACAAAUUAAAACUUCUUUCAAGAAUAAAAACCAUAUUUCUACUUCAAAACCACUUGAACUUCUUCACAUAGAUCUUUUUGGGCCAUCUAGAUAUGCGAGUCUAAAUGGCAAAUAUUAUGCAUUUGUGAUAGUGGAUGAUUAUUCUAGAUAUACAUGGGUAUUAUUCUUAGCCAAUAAGGAUGAUGCUCUUGAUGCUUUUAAAGUGCUUUGUAAGAAAUUACAAAAUGAAAAAGUGCAUGGUAUUGUAUGCAUUAGGAGUGAUCAUGGAGGAGAAUUUGAAAAUCAUGCAUUUGAGAUUUUUUGCAAUAAUCUAGGCAUUGAGCAUCAAUUUUCAUCACCUAGAACUCCACAACAAAAUGGAGUUGUUGAGAGAAAGAAUAGGUCUAUUCAAGAAAUGGCUAGGACCAUGCUAAAUGAAAAUGCAUUACCAAAAUAUUUUUGGGCCGAAGCCGUCAACACCGCUUGUUAUGUUUUAAAUCGGGUGUUGAUUAGACCUAAUUUUAAUAAAACUCCCUAUGAGCUUUGGAAAGAUAGAAAACCCAACAUUGGAUAUUUCAAAGUUUUUGGAUGCAAAUGUUUUAUUUUAAACACAAAAGAUAAUCUUGGUAAAUUUGAUCCAAAAUCUGAUGUUGGCAUCUUUCUUGGGUAUUCAAACUCAAGUAAAGCUUAUAGAGUUUAUAAUAAAAGAACUUUAGUUGUGGAGGAGUCCAUGCAUGUUACGUUUGAUGAAUCUAACCCCUCCUCUGCGGAGAAAGGAGUUGCUAAUGAUGAUGCAGAUGGAGAGUUACAAGAAGAAUCAUCAAAAGAGAAUCAAGAGAAUGCACCACAAGAAAAUCAAGAGGAUAGACAAGAAGAACAAACAAAUAUGGAGCUGGAACAACAAGAUGGUAUUUCUCAAACACUCCCCAAGGAGUGGAGGUAUGUCUCUUCUCACCCUAAAGAUGUAAUUUUAGGAGAUCCCUCACGAGGUGUUACAACUAGAUCAUCACUUAAGAAUACUUGUGAGCAUAAUGCAUUCAUUUCUCAAAUUGAACCCAAAUCCUUUGAGGAUGCGGAAAAUGAUGAAUCUUGGAUUAUGGCAAUGCAAGAGGAAUUAAAUCAAUUUGAAAGAAACAAUGUGUGGGAAUUAGUUCCUAAACCGGAACAUCAAUCCGUCAUAGGUACUAAAUGGAUUUUUAGAAAUAAGAUGGAUGAAUCCGGUGUGGUUGUAAGGAAUAAAGCUAGAUUAGUGGCUCAAGGUUACAACCAAGAAGAAAGAAUUGAUUUUGAUGAAACUUUUGCACCCGUUGCUAGACUAGAAUCAAUUAGAAUGUUGUUGGCAUUUGCAUGUCAUAAAGAUUUCAUCUUAUUUCAAAUGGAUAUGAAAAGUGCUUUCCUAAAUGGGUAUAUUAUGGAAGAAGUGUAUGUAAAACAACUCCCUGGUUUUGAAAAUGAAAAGUUUCCAAAUCACGUUUAUAAGUUGCUUAAAACCUUGUAUGGAUUAAAACAAGCACCUAGAGCAUGGUAUGAUAGACUUAAGAAUUUCCUGUUGGUAAAUGAUUUUUCAAUGGGUAAAGCGGAUACUACUCUAUUUGUUAAGCAUAAGAACCAAGAUAUACUUAUUGUUCAAAUUUAUGUUGAUGAUAUUAUUUUUUGUUCUACUAAUGAAUUGUUGUGUAAAGAUUUUUCAUCGUGUAUGAGCAAAGAAUUUGAGAUGAGUAUGAUGGGUGAGUUGAAGUACUUUCUUGGACUUCAAAUCAAACAAAACGAGGAAGGAAUUUUCAUAAAUCAAGCCAAGUACGUAAAAGAUCUACUCAAACGAUUAAGCAUUGAUAACUCAAAGACCAAAAAUACACCAAUGAGCACAACAACCAAGCUGGACAAAAAUGAAAAAGGCAAAGAAGUGGAUAUCAAAAUGUAUCGAGGUAUGAUCGGAUCCCUACUUUAUUUGACUGCAAGUAGACCCGAUAUCAUGUUUAGUGUAUGUUUGUGUGCAAGAUUUCAGUCUUGUCCCAAGGAAUCUCAUUUGCUUGCUAUUAAAAGAAUUUUCCGUUAUUUGAGUGGAACCAUAGAUAUUUGCCUUUGGUAUCCUAGGGGAACUCAUAUAGAUUUAACAUGUUAUUCGGAUGCGGACUUUGCCGGUUAUAAAGUGGAUAGGAAGAGCACUAGUGGUACUUGCUAUAUUCUAGGACACUCUUUUGUUUCAUGGUUUAGCAAGAAACAAAAUUCUGUCGCACUUUCAACUACCGAGGCUGAAUAUAUAGCUGCCGGAAGUUGUUGUGCACAAGCACUUUGGAUGAAACAAACACUUAGAGAUUAUGGCAUUAAUCUUGAACAAAUUCCUAUUAAGUGUGAUAAUACUAGUGCUAUUAAUCUUUCAAAGAAUCCCAUUCAACACUCUCGAACCAAGCAUAUAGAAAUAAGACAUCAUUUCUUGAGAGAUCAUGUUCAAAAGAGAGACAUUGCAUUAGAGUUUAUUUCUACGGAAAAACAACUUGCCGAUAUUUUUACAAAACCACUUUGCGAAGAACAAUUUUCCAAAAUUCGGCAUGAACUUGGGAUGAUGAAAUUUUCACAUUAACAGCUUUAUUCAUGCUAUUGAGUCUAUUAACAUUGAUUGAUCUAUGCCUUGAUGCUUUAAUAUCUAUGGAAUGCUCAAUCGCAAUAUACAUGUGAUGUGUAUGGACAUUUGAAAAUGUAUGAAUUAAUUGUUGCAAUACAUAUUUAUAUUCAUGAAUUAUGCAUUGAACUGGCACUCAAAUCAUUUUGGAUCAAUAAAAUGAUCUUGAAAUGUAUUAAUAAGUAGCCAAAUAUCAAAAUAAAUGUGCGAAAUCAUAAGUUGUAGAAAACGGAUUGCCGUUAUUUCAAUAAACGGCUAACCGUUUUGGGCAGAAAUAAUGGAAAGUUUUCUGGGCGCUAUCGGUUCGCCGAUAACUAUCUAUCGACUCGCCGUCCUGAUACAAAAUUUUGAGGAGACUCCCUGGACCCUAUCGGCUCGCCGUUUUGAUGAAAUUUUUUUGGAGGACACUCUGGACUUUGUCGGCUCACCGUUUUCUCUAUAACGGCUCGCCGUUAUCACGCGUUAAUUGAACAGUCUUUCGUCUUCCUCCUCAUUUCGGUUUCUCUUUCUCUCUCUCUCUCACUUCAACCCGCGACUGCACCAGUUCUCUCCUCUCAAAUCCAUCACUUUUCUUGUCAUUUUUCACCAAAUUGCAGCAUUACAAACCAUUUCUAUCAUCUCUAGCACCUUUUAACAGAUUCAAAUCCUUCUUUUUCUUCAAAUUUUGAAAAAUCUCAUCUUGAAACCCUAGAACCAGCCGAAUCUCAUUUGUUCAUUUUGACCCAAAUUUCUUCAUUUUUCCAACUACAUUUCCACCUACAAUCACUAUCUCACACUUCGUUUCCACAUAUUUUUUUUAUCUCAUCUAUGGCGGAACGACCCCAAAGGCGUGCUCAAACCAAGCACACUGCUCCGCGACGUUCUAGUCCCCCCAGGUCUCCUCCUCAAGACUUCGAGAGUCUUCAUUUUUCUGAUGCCACCUCUGCUCAGCGAUUUCGUGAGAAAUUCAUGGGUAAACCCAUAAGUCAUUCCUCGCGCCUAUUUCUUUUUUAUGAUGAAGGGGGAGAUAAUUGGCAUUAGCAUUAUUUUUUUUCUUUUCUUUCUUCUAAUCAAUCUGUUUUAAACUUGUUUGAGAUUAAAAUUAAAUGAACUCUUUUUUAAGGGAAGUUAACAAGUCUUUCAAAAUCUCACAUAGGGGGAGCACAUAUUUAGGGGGAGCAAAAGUGCACAAGUAUUUUCUUGAAAAGUUUGUCAUCAUAAAAAAGGGAGAGAUUGUUAACAUAAAUUAUUCUUUAUUGAUUUUGAUGAUAACAAACAUGAUUAAGAUUAAUUAAUCUUUUAAAAGCUCAUCAUAAUUUUCAUCUAUUUUGACAAGUUUCAUAAAGUUUUUUUAUAAAGAUUUGGAGACAAAACAGUCAUCUUGCAAAAUAGUUCACUGCAGCAGUUUUUAUGGUAAACGGCGAUCCGACAUGUGUAAUAAACGGCUCGCCGAUUUCAAGCAGAAAUGGAGAUUAGCCUCUGGACGUAAACGGCGAUCCGACAUGUGUAAUAAACGGCUCGCCGAUUUCAAGCAGAAAUGGAGAUUAGCCUCUGGACGUAAACGACGAUCCGACAUGUGUAAUAAACGGCUCACCGAUUUCAAGCAGAAAUGGAGAUUAGUCUCUGGAUGUAAACAGCGAACCGACAUGUGUGAUAAACGGCUCGCCGAUAUCAACCAGUAGCCUCUGGACCUAAACGGCGAUCCGACAUAUAGGUAACGGCGAUCCGACAAUUUGAAAAAUCAGCCCAACGGUCAUAUUGACCAGUCAAACGGCGAUCCGACAUCUAGCUAACGGCGAUCCGACAGUGUGCAGAAAGUCAAUAACGGCUAGUUUUCAGCUGCAGCUAUAAAUAAGCUCAUUCAAAUUCAAACAAAGCUUGAUCACAACACGACCAUUGAGCUAAUAUUCGAGAAUACAAUCUUCAUAGAGCUUAGAACACAUUCUUGCUUCAUCUAUUCACAAAUUAAGCAUCAUUGUGUAAUCCUAUAUAUUGUGAGAGGCAAAUCAAUUUGUAAUCUUUUACUUUGAGUGAUUGUAAGUGUUGGGAUACACUUGGGUUAAGAGAUUGGGGAUAAUCUCUUGUUGUAAAGGUUUAUUGACACCUUGGAAGUCAAGUGUAAGCAUUUGAAGCCUUGGAGGCUUGCUUAGUGAAAUCCUCAAGCCCGGUGAGCUUGGAGGCGUGGACGUAGGCGGGGAUUGCCGAACCACGUAAAAAUUAUUGUGUUUGCUCUCUCUUCCCUUACUCCUUUACUAAUGUGCUUUAUUGAAUUUAUUGUUUUUGAUUCCAUUAAGGCAUUAGAUUAAAUUGUUGUGUGAUUUGCUUAGCUUAAUUUUAAAAUCCCAAUUCACCCCCCCUAUUGGGUUGCACACUUGUAUUUCAAUUGUAACAUUACAAAUUUUGCAAUUCAGCAUCCAAAAUAUCACUAGAACUUGCAAUACAAGCUUUAAUCUCUUCAACAACACGUAGAAUUGCGGCCAGGAACACAAACGAAAAUAUAGUUAAUUAUGCAUGCAUUAAAAAGAUGAGGAAGAGAAGAUUAAGGAACAACAUGAGGCCACCAAGAGAGUGAUGAAAAAUGUGGAUUUAAGUUUAAGUUCCACAAUGUUUACGUAAGCAAAAGUACAAAACUGAGAGUCUGAGGAUAAUGAUAUUAUUAAAUUUAAUAUGGGUUUGGUUCGUUUAGAUUCAUGAGUUUCUCUAGACAGUAUAUAUGGGGGGGCCAAAACUACUUUGCAUCGUAGGUUUUGUACACCACUCAUUUGUCAUUUACCAAAGUCACCAUUGGAUUUUAUGUGAUGGCUAGAAAAGAAACACAUAGAGAAAUAGGAGUAACUAGAGAAACAAAUAAUGAGCCAGUCACCUAGAUUGGUAAUUGAGCAUAGGGAAAUUAAAAAAAUUAACCUAAAUAUUUUUGAAUUAUUGGCUACUUCCAGAAAAAAUCUAAACCAGCAGUUUUUGAUCAAGCAAAUAAAUUAAUGGCAACAACAACGGCUAAUCGAUGCAGCGACGACAAUAGCUACUUCCGGCAAGAGUGGCCUCUUUAAUUUGAGUUAGUUCGCUGAGUUUAUGUCCAAAUUCUUAAAUGGAUAAUGGAUUUAUUGUUUUAGUACUAAUUGUUGAUGAUUAUAGGUUAGAUCUUGUUGAGCGAUUAGUUUUGUAACAUUAAGCUUGAAUUGGGAAUGAAAAUUGAUAAAAUGCUUAUGGAAAUAAGUUUGUUAAAUAUGGCAAUACAAAUGUUUGCUAAAUGCAUCAAAGAAUACAAUUUGUUGUUUAGGCUUAAUUUUGCUAUUAUUUUACUUGAAUGAAUAUUUAAGAAGGUUGCAACUAGUAUUGUCACUUGAAUAUAGGCAAUGGUAUGGUGUUAUAGGUGAUUAUGAGCAAAAGGUGUUUGUCACGAUAACCUUACAAGUGAAAACCUUCUUUUUCUCAAACAAAACCCAGAUUAAGAAGAUUCAAUACUUCAUCAUAACUAUCAGAAAACAAUAUCAAGACAAUAAUGCCAAGAACCAUUGUCUGUAAACUUUAUCCAUUGGAAAAAUCGUAAAUUAUGCUUACACGUACAAAUUUUUUUUUUUCGAUUUACAGGUGCUACGCCUUCAGCCGGUUACUCGUUUUCCAAAUGUUAAAUCUCAGUUGUUAGAUACAUUUCUUCACAAUCUAACGGCUCAUUCGCUAUAAGACAAAGGACUAGGGUACCAAACUCAUGACGCAAGAUAGCUGGAUCCUAUAUGGAGGAAAUUUAAUCCAUUUGACAACUAAAAAAUUCAGAAAUCAGACCUCGAUUUGACAACUUAGAAAUUAAACAAUUAAAUUUGUUCCAUAUGCAUGCAGAAAAUUAGAUGUAUGUAACUUGUCAUAUGCUAUAUAUAUUCUAUUAGGUGGAAGAUUUUCUACUUCAUUUGUAUGAAAUAUAUGGUAUCAAUCAAUAAAUUCUUAUUUUGUUAUAUAUACUAAUAGUAUCUUAUAGUAAACUAAGAAAUAUUAACGACCUUCUAGUGUGUUUUUGAGUUGUAAAAUAUUUUUUUAAAAAAAAUUGAGUUGUAAAGUCUAGUUAACUAUUUUGUGUUCCAUUACAGGUAUUAUGAAAGGUUUUUUAAGUUUUUAGAUGUUUUUUGACCCAUUUGUCAAUAAGUGAAACUAUUAGCACCACUUUAAACUCCUCAUAAAACCUUUCUUCUAAAAAUACACCAUUAAAAACAUAUGUAAAUCACAGUACUUUUAACAACACCUAUGUUAAUUCCACAAAUAACCUUAUAUAUUCUUUUUUCUUAAAAAAUCAUAUGAAAACAAAAAUCUUUUAUUACAAAACCUUUUCACCAAUUUAAUCUGAAGCCCUUGUUCGGUCCAUGAGAAUCAACUUUUCAAUUUAGAAUUGUUUGAGCUUCUUUUUCCAACUUUUUAUUCUUAUUCUUAUAUAUAAAUGAGAUUCUUAUAAUAUAUAAUUCAUUUUAUUACUUUAUUUUAUCAUUCCAUGGGAAAAGAUAUCAAAAUAUUACUAUGAAGUAAGUUAAACUAGUAGAAAGUAGAAUCUAAAAACUAGAUAAGAAAUAUUCUAGGCCAUCCUCUUGAGUGGAUCUAUUUUAAUUCCACGAACGUCCUUGUACACUUCUUUCUCACGAACUUUACUAUGAGAGAGAGAAAAAAGAAUUAAAUAAAUAUUUCUUUUAUACUAAAAAAGAUUGUUUGAAGCUAAUCCAAUAUUAUUUUAUACUCUGAAUGUGACAAUUCAUAUACUUUUAUAUGAACACGUAAAUCGAUAAAAUCAAGGGAACAAGUAGCCAUAAAAAAAAUAAGUCUUUCAUAAUUUGAAAAUAAUGAACUAAAAUUUCAGUCCAACAGAAACCGCUAAUUUAAGAAUAAAAAUAAAAAUAAAAAACAUUUUCACUAAAACAACAAAAUUAUCUUUUAUUUAAUAAAAAUAAAACCCAUGUGGGGUUAGAGGAAGAGAGAUGAAUUGUCAAACGUGAUUUGAUUAAAGUUAAAAAUAUAAAUUUAAGAUAUAAGAAUUCUUUUGGAGGUGCCAAUAGCUCCACUCUAUUCUCUUUUUGUAGUUCUGCAAGUUUUAAACACAUGGUUCUAUGAAGGUCUUAGAGGGUGCCGAUAGCUUUCAUUAAUGUGCAUAUAUGUUAAACAAUAUCGAAUUAUUAGAUGGACCUUACUACCUUACAGAUUCUGUGAGGUACACCUCUCUAAUAAGAAUGGAGCGUGGCUCACUUAAGACCACCUUUAUUUUACUUAUUUUGGAUGGACGUACCUUACAAAAUCUAGGUACCGUCUUCUUAUUUGAUCCAACGUAAUCAAACAAUCUAAUCUAAUUGACUUGCCGCUUUAUGUUAAUAUAUAAUUAUGUUUUCUUUCAAUUGUUCUAAUAGUUGAGAGUUUUAUCUGGAAGAUAGCUCGAAAAUCAGCACUAAUUCCUACUCAGAAGGGAGGGGAAAUAAAUUGUGAUAGAAAAUAAAUUAUUUGAGUGCUCUGUGAGUCGAAGACCCACUCUCAGAUAAACAACUAUCUUUGUAAAGCAGAGCAGAAUUCAGAAAUGUCAUUCUUCUCAUUGGGUCAUUUCUUCAAACGUCCUCUGUACAAACAGCUCACCCGCCAUCAUAAUCUAUUUCCAUUCAUAAAUCAAAAACCCAGAACCCAAUCAACAGCACCCUCUUCCGUUCUCAUAAAAGUUUCAGCCCGUUCUUCUUAUCUCUCAGUUCGCAUUUGCUGUCAAAAACAUGCGUUAGUGAGUUUCACUUUUUUUACUUGUCUGUGUUUUUAAGCAUUUUGAAUUAGUAAUUAUUUGGCAUUAAAAUUGAGGUGCCUUAACUUGUGUUGUCAGGAUAUGUUUUCUGAAGCUCUUCUAUGUUUCGGUGCAAGUUCUACAAGCGUGGAUGAACAUGAUAAUGAUGCUGAUGAGAAUUCUGAUGAGGUUGAAACUUUAUAUUUUAAUUUCUUCUUUUUUCUUUUCUUUGAUUAUUGAUUCAUGUCUUGUAAAGGAUCUUGAGAGCAACAAUAAACAAGAAAUGAAACUCAUAUCCCAUUUGCAAAUUGGCUUCUAUUUGUGUUAAAAAUGUGCUUCUAAUUUCCAAUGUAAUGUUACCAGUUGGCCUUAGAUUUUUGUUGACUUUGUUGGUUCACUUGCUAGAAAGGUAGCAAGAGGAAAAAAUUAAUAAUAAUACUAAAUAAGCACAAAAUUUUCAAUGUUUGUUAUGGAAUUGAAAAUUGUCUUCUUUCUGUGUUAAAAGAGUGCCUCGAAAACGCCAUUAUAAUGUUACUAGUUGGUCUUAGAUUUUGUUGAAUGUAGAGUGGCUUCUGAAUAAAACCUACAGUUGUUUUAAAUAUUACUUACAGAUUGCUUUUAUGCAGAUCUAUAUUGAUUCCAUAUUUCCUGAAUGCGAAGACGUGGAUGAGUGCAUAUUAAAUGCUGCUAAUUCCAUAGGCUUGAAAGAGACACCGCGCUAUGAAGUUAAAAUGGGCGAGCAAUGCAACUGGAUAAAGAAAACUCAGGUUUGUUUGCUCUCCUUUUUCUCUCUAUCACAACGGUAUACUUGGAAUUAUUGUUAUGUCAAUUUGAUUCUCUUUUCUUACAUGUUGCAGGAGUCAUUUCCUCCCGUUGAGGUGACAAAAUGACUAUGGAUUGUGCCCGAGUGGAGUACACCACCAGUAUGAUUAUCUCACUCCCUUGGGAGGUUUUGUUGCAGUAAUUUCUCAUAUUUUAUAGGGUACCCUCUUCUUCAUUGCUUCUGUAGAAGUCAUAUAAGCUAGUUGCUUCCGAAUCUUUAAAUUUAUUCAAUGAGGAACCUUCGUUUGGAAAAUUGAUUUUCAUCUGAUCCAAGAAGGUUGCUUUGAAGGAGAGAGCUUACGAAAUGCAGCAAGCAAAAUCAUAACUACAAAGCAGUAGACUAAUUGUUAGCUGACUCUAAGCAAAGGCAACAUUCAUAAAAGAUGACGAAGAGUUUCUAAUAUUUACCAAUAUAACUUAUACCAAGUGCACAGAAUAGAGCCAUCUGAACAUUCAGGAGCAUAAGAACAACCAAUGUAGCUGCAAAGAUGAGAUGUAAUUACUACUGUGAAGACGAGGAAAGAAUUCCAUUAUUUAUCAACAGCUAGACUGUAGUAUAAUGGAAAGACUUGCUAAGGAAAGUUUAAAGCAACACUCAUCCAGAGAAGGCAAGAACAAGUAUAGAAGCAAAAGUGCACACAUUCAUAUAUAGGGGUAACGAGUAAUGUAUCAUAAAUCACUUGCUCUAGCUCAGUAAAAAAAAAAACAACGCAAAAUUGCAAAUUCAUAGUGUUGUUAUUUAUCAAUUGGAACCCAGAAAAAAAAAAUCUGUAACUUAAUUAUUCAUUUAAGCAGAUUGAAACCCUUACAAACACAGGUAAGCAAAUCAAAAUUAUCAUUAAAAAUCCAAUCAAGGCCACAUAAAUCUAAUCACAUCCAAAAGCAUCCCAAAAUCUCGUUCAAAAUUCAUAUACCCACAUACAAAAACCAUUCAAAAAUUUAAUGCUAAAUUUAAACCCAAAUCUGUUGCGUAAUUGCAUUGUACACGUAAUUACUUUAUCUUGAUAACGCCCCCACAAGCAUUCUGCAAAAGGGGAAAUCAAAUACUUAAAACUAUUAUAGAAACUUGAAAGAGCAAGUCUUAGAUUGACUUGAAUUUGAACCAAGAGGCAACACAAACAAACGCGUUCAAGCAAAUGCAAAACCAACGAAACCCCAAUCAUCAAGUGGUCCAUUGAUAAAUAAAAUCCAAUUACAUCGACUGCGCUGCCAAAAUUUUAUUAAAGAAAACGGAUCCCGUGCUCAGCUGAGCUUGUGCUGAGCACCGGAUCAAUGGUCAAUAAUUAUUUAAGACCCACGUAAGAUAAUUGCUGAGCAUUGAUUCGGUACUCAACACAAGCUCAGUUGAGCACUGUUUAUAAAAAAAAAUAAAAGCGGCAUCAGCAUGUGCUUUGAUUGAAUGCCUUGAGAACACGUAAGCAUCACCCAAAUUAUUAUUUACACAUGCUUGCGUGAUCCAAUUGCAUGCCAGAAAAUACAAAGAAUGAAUCUUGGUGAAAAUUUCCUAUCCACUAAAGGGUGCGUUUGCAAAUCUCAAAAUCGGUGGGGGAAGUGCGGCGGUGUGGCGGGCUAUAGCCAGACAGAGCCAGAGAAUCUGAAGCAAAACACCAAAAAUCUUGCCCUGGAAAUGACUCAGCAAGAAUACUUCGGUAUUAUAUGCUAAAUUUUUUUAAAGAAUUUUCUUUUAGUAUUGUUUUGAGAAAAUAAAUAAAGGUAGUCAAUUUAAUAUGCUUAAGAAUUUUUAGUAUUUUAAAGACUGGACAAAGCAUAACUUACUUUUUAAAUUUAAUAGAUAAGUGUCUAGAAUAAUAGCGUAUUUAAAGUAAUUAUUAGAGUGCAAAUAGUCAUAUCCAAUACUUCAACUUAUAAUGGUUGGUUGUUGUUUUCACUGAAUUUUCAGAUUUGAAUUGAAUCAAUUACUAGUUGUGUGGUUGGAGCUCAAGAGAGAUGAAGAUAAAAAAAAAAAAGGAGUUCUUCUUUUAUCCCUUUUAAGUGAAUAUAUUUAGGUUGGGUUAAUGUGUACCAUAGUCCAUAGGGCACUUUCAUCUUUUCUGUCAUAUGACACCUCUUUACUCAAAUGUCAAAUGGGCUUGCUCAUCAAGCUUUGGUAUUCAUCAUUUGGAUCCUUGAUCACGUGACGCUUGUUGACUAGGCAGCCUUGUUGCCUUAAUUUCCUAUUGUUUUCUUGUUCUCAGGCUGGAAGACAUUAUUUUUUCUUGUUAUCUCUUAGCUUAUUCCAUAUUUGUCCUUCUAAGUGAGCUAAUUUUACCAAAACUAUCAUUUUCCUUGAUUGGCUCAUGUAGGACAGUUGAUGUGUUAUUUUUUCCACCAAUCAUCUUCUUAUUUAUUAUUCUUGUACCACAUGUCAGCUUUCAACUAGUCCAUAAAUAUCCUUCCAAAUUUACCUCCAAACAAAUCUAAUAACCUCUUGAAAACGAAAAAUUAAAAAUUUAUUCAAUCAUUCAAUGUUAAGGAAAUUGGCCAAGUAAUGGAAUGCUAACAAACCAAAUUAAAUUUCUACACUUGCUCUUUUUCUUUGGCCUAUACCAAAUUUCAUCACUUAAUUUUCCUUUAAUUAAAUAAAACAAAUACAUUAUAACUGCUUACUAUUUACAUCUGAAUAGAGCAAUAAAGACUGGUUAUUAAAGACCGGUUAUUAAACGGAUAUGGAUGAAAAUGGUGUUAAAACAUGGCAUAUGGUAGCAAUAAAAAAGGCGCUUGCAGGAUAUAUUCAAGCAAAUUGGUUUGAGUAACCACAAACAAAAAGGCCUCGCAAGUGAUAAGUUCCUCCUUUGCCCACUCAAAUGCAUUACAUAAUGUCGCAGUACAUUUUAUUUAUGCAAAUACGUAUAUAUAUGCAUAUCUUGAUAACUAUUUUAACAUGUGAUCUAAUAUAGAACAUAAUUUAAUAGAGUAUACUCCCUGAAUUUCGCUCUGAAUUUUUUUAUAAUUGAUUUGUUAUAAAUUUGAACGAGGGAUUGCAAUUAUACCUUCUUGAAGUUUAUAGAUGUUUUCAUGCAUGCUCCACGAAAAAUAUUUGAUGUCGUGCUAAUGCUCACUGCAAAGCAUAUACCGUAGGCUAUGCUAUAGCUAUAUAAAAACUUAUACUUGCUUUCUCGAAUGCACACACUUGCACACAAAAUUUUACCAGACGUGGUUUCAAUUUAUUGAACCAUUAGAGGGACACAUCAGUAGUCACCAAAAUGCCACUCUAAAUGGCAAUUCUCGUAAUCAUUUUGCUGUCGCUCUUCAUUCCAGUCCCAAGUACACAGCCCAAACUUCAAUUUUCUCUGGGAAGGUAAUGAAGCGUGGCUCAGUCUCAGUAAUAUGUCUUCCAUAUUCCAUGGAAUGAGCCAAAGGAGUAAUACUUCUAUAGUUAGAAGCAACUAGCAAUCAUAUUGAAGGAAUUUUCUGUAUCAGAUAAAGAAAGAGCAGCAGAGAACAAAGCUGUUAAUCAAUCAACACAUGUACAGCAGUAUUAGUAUUUCUGCCUUAUUGUAGUGCCUAAUUGGGUAUUAGGAUUUCUCCUCAAGAACGUUUACUAAGACAUUCAGCCAAGUAUGAAGUUCAUCAAUAAUCAAUCUUUUCGGUAAAUAAACGAAACAUAUUGAGUGCCAAACUUGCCCAGCCUUUGAAACAGAAUUUCAGAGCAAGCAACAGAACAAAGUCAGAAAAUACAUUCAACUGAACCCAACACCAGAAAGCAUAACAAAUAUUAUUUAUUUUUUGUACACAAUUAACGAACCGCCCCUGAAGCACAAAUCAAUGAACUCUCAACUGAAAAUCCGAAACGAAAGUUCUUAUUUAUGAGUACACAGCGGAAACAAAGACACCAAAAAAAAGUGCACCACCGUAGGAUCAGGAUUUGUAUGUGUAGACAGCAAAAGUGAAGACGGAAAGGAUUCUGGUUGAAAUUGAAGCUCGGGCUGCAGUCAUGAUGUUUUCUGCUCUGAUUUCACCUACACAAGUCAUUAAAGAAAUUAUGAAAAAUAAGAAUUUUAAAUUACAUUUUUUUUCCUUAACUAUUAAAACAAAUGAACGCUGAUGUCUGCUAGGCUCAUGGUUGAAUGUGGAAGAGUACUUAAGUCUCCACUGCUGCUAAAGAGGGCUUGAUGAUUGGGGUGAGUAUCGGAAACUCUAAAGGGUACUUAAUGUUUAGACAAAUUGGAAGAAAACACUUUGUAUAACCAUUUUUAUACUAAAGAGAAGGGGAACAAAAAGUAUAUGCAAUUGGAUAAGUAAUUAAAAUUUGAAGAAAUUGGGUAAAACGAGAAACAUACAUCAAACUCAAUAGGGGCUAAUCAAAUUCCGUAAGGAUAAAGCUGAACGCCAUACUGCUCCUUAUCCUUGAAUUCCCGUAGCUUUUGUCUUAGCUCUGGCUGAGGCCACCAGCAAUCGAACUUGUUUAAGCUCUUUAUGCCCCAGAGCUGUUCAGGCAUCUUUUUCAAGUAAGCACAAGGGUUGAUAAUCAAGCAUUCUAGUUUUGGCAUGGCUCCAAUCCCCAUAGUCCACUCCCCUAGCCAUAGCAUUGAUUUCAGGUGCAAUACCUUGAGAUUUGGAAAACCAUCAGAGCCACAAGUCAGCUUCCUACCUGAAUACGAAUUUUGCUUCAGUUUGAGCACUUGAAGAAGCGGCAGCUUUUCUAGUGUCGGCAUGGGAUCAUCCAUUAGGUCAGUAUUAGAAAAACUCAAGUGGGUUAGACUAUGAGGAAAUAGGUAUUCAGCAAGGACGAUUUUGGAGAGCCGUGGCAUCUUGCUUUCAUUCGCCAGCUUCAAUGACUUGAGAAAGCUCAAUCUGCAGAGACUUUUGGAAAACAAAGAUUGAUUAUAACUUAAAUCUCCCCGUAUUCGGAGAUUUUGAAGAUUAGGUAGCCUGCCCAAUAUAUCUUCAGUACAGCAGCAAGGAUGCAAGGCCGAAAUGAAAUUUAGAUUUUCCAGAGAGCCACAAUAUUUUCCUGGAUGCGCAGGAAGUGUGAUUGACCCAAAAUUUAGAUGCCUGAGUUUGUUCAUCUUCCAAAAUUCAUCUGCUGUAUGAUCUAUGUAGCUAAAGGGCAUGUCUAGGGUGUAGAGGUUUAGAAGAUUGCUUAAUAAUGAGGAAGGCAGGCUUUUGAGGGAAGGGAUAUUCAACUUCAAAUAUCUCAAAAGAAAUAAAUUUUCAAUUUCGGAUGGAUAUUGGUUGAGAACAAGAGAUCCCAAGUCCAAUAUUCUGAGAAGUUUGAACAUUCCACAAAUUUUCUCCCAAUCUAUGGGGUCAAAGUGGCAGCUUUCUGGAGAGCAGCACAAUAAAGAAUGCAGUUGCGAGUCAUAAUCAUCUAAGCAAUCAAAAUCACCCUCUCUUUCAACAGCGUUUAACCGUUUGGCUCUUUUUCCUGAUUCACUAUCGAUGGAAGGGGAAAAGAUGAAUUCCACCUCAGAAGAAACUGUGAACAACACGGGACGCCAACGACCAGGAAUAGAGCAUGUGUUGAUAGUGCCUCCGGCUUUUCUCUUCUUUGCUUCAACAAAGCCUUCCUUGAUAAGUUGUUCCAAGUAACUCUCAGCAGUUGCCUCACUAUUGUCUGGAAUGAAACCUUCAGCUAUCCACAACUGAUAUAACUGCCUGGUGGAUAUCUCUAGGUGUACGGGAAACACAGAUAAGUAGAUAAAACAAGGUUUCAAGCAAAACGGUAACAUGCAACAUUUGAAGUACCGAAGCACAAGGGGUAUCUCCACUGCUUCCCCUAUAUUUUCUUCUAAUGAGAUGCUUCCAUGAUAUAAGAUGAGGAAAGGCCAUCCUUGGUAUGUAGCUCUCAAUGGUCCUCCAGUGGGCACUAAAUCAAGCCGAAUGUUCUCUCCGUCUUCGAGCUGAAAUGAGGUGACCAUCUUAAUUUCAGUGAGUGUUAUUAAUACUCUACUUCUAUUCUGAUUAUCCGGGAGUAUUUCUCGAAUAAUAGCCCAUACUUCAAUGUUCCACACAUCAUCAAUCACAAUCAAAUACUGCUUGGUCAUUAGAUAUUCAUGAAGAAUAAUUUUUUUCAUUUCAUAAUUUUUAUCCUUCAUUUCACUCAACCUAGAUGAAGGCAUCAGAAACUUAAUAAUGAUAUCUAAUAUUUGGUCAGCAUCAUAUUCAUUGCUGUAAGGUUCUGUAAUCCAAGCGUGACAAUCAAAAUAAUGCUUCACAUAACUGCUGUUGUAAGCCUCUCCGGCGAAAGCCGUCUUGUCCAACCCAAUGCUAUCAAGUAUGGCCACCACUGAAAGCUGAGGUGGUCCCUCAAUCAAUAGAUCUAACAACUCCUCCAUUCUAUCAUCUAGACCCACCGUGUCCCUACUUUUAGAAGAUGAAGAUAUACCUGCUUCAGCUUUAAAAGUUUUGAUGCGAUCAAUGAUUUCGGAAUCCAUGUGCUUAAGUUGUUGCAUUCGUUGCUUAAUAUCAGUGAUUCUGCUUUGGAGUCCUUGCAGAGCAUCAAAAAUGUCCUUGCUGCCGCUGCUUUGACUCUUCUGUUGAGUGAUGCUGUUGAUGAAUGUGUCAAUGACCCUCUCAGAUUCAUACGUAAAGCAAUUGAUUUCAUCCAUAACGGUCGCCAGAUCUGGGUUUUCAAUUUCAUCUUCUCCGAUCUUUUCCAACAUAAGCAAGGAAGUUUCAUCUUCAAAUUCACUCAGCCAAGAAGUAACGAUUUCAACCUCCGCAUGAAGGUUGUGAAUAGGUAGUUUUGCAGCAUCAGGCAACGUGACUUCUUCACCAGCUAACACCCUUCUCAGCCUCUCUGAAAAUAGUCUGAAGUUGAUGUCCAUAUCUCCUCCUCUCUCAGAUUCACCCCGAAAUCAGUCCUAUAAAAGGACAUCGUCAAGAAGUUGAAUAUGCUUUAAAGCUCGCAAUUCAAACAUUAGUGCUGGCUCCCAUACCUCCCUUCUCUUAGCUAGUUCUCCAGUCAAGAAGUUGAAUCAAGAUCGUUGACUCUCAAAUUAGAACAGAUCAAGGCAGAAUCUUACAAUAAUCUCGUCUCCCAUAUGAUGAAAAAAGAAUAAAGCAGAGAAAAAUAAACAGGACAUCGUCAAGUAUCGAUCAAGACCAAUUUGUUUUAUACAUCCACUUUUAAGAAAGGAAGGGUAAAAACAAUUCCACUGGGACUAUAAAAGCUUGUCUGAAAAGAAAAGAACGGAGCAAGCACAAGAGCGUUAUCAAUUAUUUAAUAAUUAAGCUGUGGAAAAAUGCCAAAUCAUGUCUGGUGUUAAAUGUUAAAUUUAUUGCGAGACUUGCAUGUAUCUUGCAUGUAUCUAUAUCACAAAUAAAAUUUGUAUCCCAGGGUUAUAAAUGUAAAAUUACUCAAAUAAAUAUGCAUUCUUAAUCAUGUGUGAUGCUGUCUUAUUUCUUCAACCAGAUUUAGAGAAAGUACUAAAUCGUUUGUAAAAUUUUAUAGUUAAUAUAUGUUCAAUUUUCUUUUUAGCAUUCUUUUUUAAGAGAUGAAAAAUGAUAAAGAGUUCUAACAACGGGUGACAAAAAUAAUAGUAAAUUGUGUACUGUUACAAUGUUAAUUGAAAAAUAGUUAUAAUUUUUUAUUUAACAUUAUAAAUAAAAUCUAUAGUUGUUUUCUCACUACUGUAUCAUUUUUUGAUUCAAAUAUCAGUAUUAUAUGAACUCUUUGAAAGGAUUACAUCAUAUGACACUAUUUAUAAUUAUUUUCAUUUGAGCCCUUAGUGUUAAAAAUAUAACAAUCCAUCAAUGAAAUCAAUGAUAAUGGAAUUCUAAGUAGGAAUGGCAGAAAAAUCAAGUCUAGCUAGAGCUAGUUUUCUAAGUAUUCUGGCUGGUCUUGGGCUCCGGCUAAAAAGUCCGAACCCAGCUCGAAAGCCAAAAAAAUACUGAAAAUUUUAAAAAUUGUAUAAUUCCAAGCCUUAAAGACUUCUCCAAAUGUAUGGUACAACAUUGCAUAAUAGGACCAAUCACAUGGAGAUGAUUUGUACAUUAUUGUACACAAUUUUAGUAUGCAUAUCAGAAGAGAGGCAGCAAUCUUAGUUGAUACUUUUAUUUGACAUAUGAUGUAAGAAACGGAACAAAGAUUGUAACGUUACAAAUUUUGCUAUUCAGCAUCCAAAAUAUCACUAGAACUUGCAAUACAAGCUUUAAUCUCUUCAACAACCCGUCGAAUUGCGGCCAGGAACACAAACGCAGAGAUGGGUAUCAAGAUCGCAUUCGAAAUCGACUGACAGGGAUUGUCACAGUUGGCAUUGCUUUUACAAGUGACUGCUUUUGAUUCCGGUUGAGCAUCAACUGCCGGCAUGGAAAUAUCAAACAACACACCUGCAUAUAUAAAUGGCAAUCAAUUAAUUAGCCUAAUGCUAAUAACACGCCUGCAUAUAUAAAUGCCAGCCAAUUAGUUGUCAUAUUAUAGUUAAUUAUGCAUGCAUUAAAAAGAUGAGGAAAAUAAGAUUAAGGAACAAACAUGAGGCUACCAAGAGAGUGAUGAAAAAUGCGGAUUUAAGUUUAAGUUACAUAAUGUUUAUGUAAGCAAAAGUGCAAAACUGAGAGUCUGAGGAUAAUGAUAUUAUUAAAUUUAAUAUGGGUUUGGUUUGUAUAGAUUCAUGAGUUUCUCUAGACAUUAUAUAGGGGGGGGGGGGGGGGGGGGGGGGGAAUUUAAUCCACUUGACAACUAAAAAAUUCAGAAAUCAAACCUCGAUUUGACAAAUUAGAAAUUUAAAAAUUAAAUUUUUUUCCAUAUGCAGGCUCUCGUUUUUCUCUCUAUCACAACGGUAUAAUUGGAAUUAUUGUUAUGACAAUUUGAUUCUCUUUUCUUACAUGUUGCAGGAGUCAUGUCCUCCCGUUGAGGUGACAAAAUGACUAUGGAUUGUGCCCGAGUGGAGUACACCACCAGUAUGAUUAUCUCACUCCCUUUCGAGGUUUUGUUGCAGUAAUUUCUCAUCUUUUAUAGGGUACCCUGCUCUUCAUUGCUUCUGUAAAAGUCUUAUGAGCUAAUUGCUUCCGAAUCUUUAAAUUUCUUCAAUGAGGAACCUUUGUUUGGAAAAUCGAUUUUCAUCUGAUCCGAGAAGGUUGCUUUGAAGCAGAGAGCUUAUGAAAUGCAGCAUGCAAAAUCAUGACUACAAUGCAGUAGACUAAUUGUUAGCUCACUCUAAGCAAAGGCAACGUUCAUAAAAGAUGAAGAAGAGUUUCUAAUAUUUACCAACAUAACUGAUAGCAAGUGCACAGAAUAGAGCUAUCUGAACAUUCAGAAGCAUAAGAACAACCAAUGUAGCUGCAAAGAUGAGAUGUAAUUACUACUGUGAAGUCGACGAAAGAAUUCCACUAUUUAUCAACAGCUAGACUGUAGUAUAAUGGAAAGACCUGCCAAGGAAAGUUUAAAGCAAAACUUAUCCAGAGAAGGCAAGAACAUAAGUAUAGAAGCAGAAGUGCACACAUUCAUAUUUAGGGGUAACGAGAAAUGUAUCAUAAAUCACUUGCUCUAGCACAGUACUAUUUCAUGCUAAUUUUCUUGCUCGUUCUAUGGUUAGGACCCUUUGAGCGGAAAGAAAUCAAAUCACAAUGCUUAUUCUAGCUAGAAACUCCUGAAGUCCAUGCUUGAACCCUGUGUCGAUUGGUCAUAGACUCCAUAUUCUCCUCUCCCAAAAGUAUGACAUUUUUUUCUUCCACUGAUUAAUGGAACUUAAAACUGUUUUGCCACAAUCUUAGUCAUACAAACCCUUUCUCUUUACAUUUCUUAAGGUCAUCAGACCCAAGCCAGAACAUGUUUACUUCCUAGGAGAAAUCUUAAAUAUCUUAAUCAAUACGGAACUGUGUAGUUCAGACAGCAUUCCCUUGGCCAACUAGACGUAAAGAUUUGCAAUGUCCUAGUAAGUCUAUGAGUGGAACUAACAGUGCCCUUCCAAUACGGAAAAACAAUCAUCAAAAACAAUUUUUUUACCCCAUCAACCACAUACAGUAUAAGACUGUAGCAGGUUAUCUCAAUAUCGGCUGCCAUUUUGAUUCAAAGAAGAAAUAUUUGAGAACUCACCACAUUGUGCAAUGCGAACCAGAACCUGCCUAAUCACAGGAUGCCAAUCCCAGUUCCAUUUGUCACUACAGAACUUGAAAAAAUCCCAAAGUGCCAAACUUGAUAUCAACCCAACAAGAGCAAGUGGCAUCUGGUAUCUAUAAGAUGGAGACAGAGACAAUGUCACUAGACAGAUGAUACACAGAAAAAAAAAAAAAUGUAAUACAACUAACACACACAAUACUAUGAUUAAAAAAAUAUCUCCAUCAGUUAAAAACUAAACAAUGGAAAGGCGAGACUCUAUGAACUAAUGCCCUGAACCAGCACAAAUACCAAUUCUCCUGGAGUAUUUUAAGUAUUCAUAUAGUUGUUUCAAAGCACAGGAAAAAAAACAAACAACGCAAAAUUGCAAACUCAUAGUGUUGUUAUUUAUCAAUUGGAACCCAGAAAAAAAUAGCUGUAAUUUAAUUAUUCAUUUAAGCAGAUUGAAACCCUUACAAACACAGGUAAGCAAAUCAAAAUUAUCAUUAAAAAUCCAAUCAAGGCCACAUAAAUCUAAUCACAUCCAAAAGCAUCCCAAAAUCUCGUUCAAUAUUCAUACAACCACAUACAAAAACCAUUCAAAAAUUUAAUUUUUUUUAACUCAAAAUAAUAACUCAGAAAAGGAAACAAAAUUCUUACAGAGAGCAAGCAAAGAAGAGGAUGAACAAAGAAGCAUAAUUCCUGGCAUAACGUUUAACAUUCUCAUGAACUCUCAACUUAAGGGUGUGUGGGGAAGAUGGAAACGAGAAAGACCCAAGAGCCCCAAUAAACUCACGGGUCCAAGACGGGGUGUUGGCUGAGAAAUCAUCAGUGGUGAGUUUAGCAAAAGGGUUGGCGGUAAGAAGAGAGAUAAAGGUGUAUAAAUAAUGUAAAAGGCUGUGAGUUAAGGUCGUGGCUGUGGCUGUUUCUUUGGUGGAGGCUGUUGUGACGGCGGUGGCCGACGUGGUGGUGGCGGUGUCGAGGAUUUCGAGGUAGCCGGACUCGCGUAGCCAUGACUCGAAUGCUGGGUCGGGUACGUUUAGAGAUAACGGGUUGGAUGCGAAUACCUUCCCCAUUACAAAAAGCUAUCCAAUUUCGGUUGAAUGAGGGUCACUAAAUUAUCAAAAUAUUAAUAACUAAUUUUUAACAAAAUUCAUAUGAUAUGAUAUGAUGAUAUAGGCCUUGGUUAGUGGUUUUCUAAACAAUUUAUUAUUAUUAUUAUUCUCUUAAUCACUCCAAGUUUAAAUUUGGAAGAUGUAGGGGAUAGAAAUAAAUUAUAUUAGGAUUUGUCGAUUUGUCAAUAAAAACUUCAGUAUUAUAUGCUUAAUUUUUUUAAAGAAUUUUCUUUGAGUAUUGUUUUGAGUAAAUAAUUGUAAUUAAUUUAACAUGCUUAAGGACUUUUAGUAUUUUAAAGACCAUACAAAGUAUAACUUAAUUUUUUAAGUUUAAUAGAUGAGUGUGUAGAACAAUAAAGUAUUUAAAGUAAUUAUUAGAGGAUAAAUAGGCAUAUCCAAUACUCUUUUUUUUUUUUGAAAACAAAGUAAACCUUUCAUAAAUCACAACACCUCAAAUACAACUUGAAUCUUGGCUGGAAUAGUUCCUAGCCACAUAGAAGAAGAAUUUCUUCCCAAAGCUAACUUAGCUAGGGAGUUGGCAUAAGCAUUACAUUGUCUUAGAAUGUGAUGAACAAUAACUUUUUGAAAACCUUUCAACUGAUUUCGGAUCUCCAGAAUUGUCCAAAAAAAUUCUGUUUUGCUGCCCUUGGUAUUGUUUACAAGUUGAACCACCUCUAAGCAAUCUGACUUAAUGAUCAAGGAGGUUAAAUCUGCUUCUUUUGCCAACUGAAGCCCCCAUUGCACAGUCUCUGCCUCAACCAAACUGACUGGUCCCUUAAGAUGAAUCUGAUUAAUACCGGCUGCAAUUAUCUUUCCAUUAGAAUCUCUAAUCACUGCUCCCACGCCUGCAAUCUGAUUCUUAGUAUUAAUGGCAACAUCCACAUUAAUUUUGAAAAUAUUUUCAGGGGGAGGGAACCACUUUUGUUGUUUCUCUCCUCUGGGGUGGGCAAUAUGAGAAGGCUUUUUCUUUCUUACUCUUUGAAAAGCUGAGCCUUUACAACAUGAGCAGGGAGGGGACUCCACUUUUGAUGCAUCAUAGAUAGUUUCUUCUCUGCAAAAACUUUGCCCAAAUUUCUUAAGUUUCUUAAAGGCAUCCAUCAGAUCUGCCUUUGCAACACUUUCCACAAAGUAGAAACUUUUCUUCUCAAAAUUCUGCAUCAUAAAAUACAAAACCAAGCAAAAUCAAAUGAACCCCAGAUUUGUAAAUCUGGGUAGACAAACAAUAAUAAACCACCACAAAUCUCUAGAUCUGAGUGGAAGAACAUACCACCACAAAUUUGAAAAUAUGAGUGGAAGAACAAAACCACCACAGAUAUGAGGAUCUGAGUGGAGAAAAUAAGUAAAGAAAAUAAAAAAGGAAUGAAAAAAGAAGGUUUCGCCGGAAAACGAACUCAUAGAGCUGAUUUUCCGACGAAAGAAGAAGGUGAAAUGUUAUUGGAUGUUCAGAGCCUUUUUUUUCUGGAAAGGCAUAUCCAAUACUUUAACUUAUGGUUGGUUGUUUUUUUCACAUAAUUUUCUGAUUUGAAUUGAAUCAAUUACAAGUUGUGACUCGAGCUCAAGAGAGUUGAAGAGAAAGAAAAAGAAAAAUGGAGUCCUUCUCUUGUCCCUUUUAAGUGAAUAUAUUUAGGUUGGGUACCGCAGGGUAGUUGAUGAGCAUAAUUUAUAUACAUAUUUUACCCUUAAUUAUAUAAUUACUAGCUAUUUUCAUUGGUCAUUUUUAAUUAAUUGAAUUAUUUUAUUGAAUAGGGAAUUAAUUGGGGAUUAUGGAUGAAAAGUGGAUAAAGAAUAACAAUUGGACAACAUUAAAAAUCAAGUCAAUUUGUGGAAGCAGUUAAGCAAAUGUGUAUGAAAUUCAAUCCGAAGAAGCCGAAGCCAAUAAAUUGAAUUCUCCAUGCUAGUGCAAACAAAGAAUAAAUUUAAAGCUAAAGUGGCCUGCACGUGAGAAGCAAUUGCAUGGCAUUAAAAAAAGAAUGAAAAAUCCAAGUGGGCUUCACGUGCAUGGGCUCAAAGUCAGUUGUGCUUUGCUUGUUUUAAAACCUUUUGAUUUGAGCAAAGUAAACACUGAUGCAGCCAUUUGCUUUGAAAAGAACAUUGUAGGGCUGGGGGCAGUAAUCAAAAAUGUUUUGGGGCAUGUUACAGCAGCUGCUAUCAAGGUUGCUAAGUUUCGUGGAGAUGUUUCUUAUGCAGAAGCAGAAGCCAUGGAAUGGGGUAUGUUAGUGGCGCGAGAGGCCAACAUGAAAGCUGUCAUUAUGGAAUCAGAUUCUCAAGGUGUGGUCAAUUUAGUUAACAACAAGCAGGGCAGCAGAUCAGAGAUCUAUUGGGUUGUGUCAGAAAUUCAGAAACUAGCGGAAAGCUUCGAACGUGUUAGCUUUAAAUACACGACUAGAUCUUGAAAUGUUAUUGCCCACUCUUUAGCUAAACUAGCUUUAGAGAAGUGCGAGAAUGUUGUGUGGAAAGGGUCAUACCCUUCACAAGUGAUGUAUCUCUUUUCCACUUUAGUUUAAUGGAAAUCUCUUUUCAAAAAAAAAAAAAAAAAAAAAAAAAACCUUUUAAUUUGAGGAUUUUGGAGGGUGUUACAAUAUAAAAGUCGUGUUAACAUAAAUAUGUUAAUAAUAUUGAUUUUGAUGCUAACAAAUUUUAAAUGAUUUUUUGAUAAAAGUAUUGGAGCUAUUUCUUAAUAAACGAGAGCCUUAGUAAUCAUUCCAUUCAUGCUUCAUAAAAGAUGGACUUUAAAAUUAGAAAAAGAUUCUCUGCAAAAACUAGUUUAAAAUGCAAUUCUGGUUAUAAACGGUUCACCGUUUAUUUAAACGGUUAACCGAUAACAGCCAGAGAGCAACGUAUUUCCUAAACCUCUAACCGUUUAUGAAAAACGGAAAACACAAAAGAUGGGAAGGUUACUGGAACUUAACGGUGAACCGUUUAUUUUAAACGGUUAACCGAUUAGAACCAGAGAGCAACAUAUUACCUAAGCUCUAACCGUUUAUGCUUAACAGAAAACACCCAAGAUGGGAAGGCUACUGGAACCUAACGGUGAACCGUUUAUUUUAAACGGUUAACCGAUAACGUCCAAAAUUGAAGGUUGUCCUCCUCUGGCACUGAUUAACGAAAACUGAUAAGGCUAAAUUUGUUUUGCAGGUUACUGGAGACAAACGGCGAACCGUUUAUAUCAAACGGUUAACCAAUAAUUUCCAGAGAAGCCACUUCACGCAAGUCCUUAACCGUUUAGCGUAAACGGAUAACAAAUACUCAUUUUGCAGGUCUCUGGAAGUUAACGGCGAAAGGGCAACCCUAAACGGCAAACCGUUUAUUUGAAAUCUGGCCCAACGGUAACUUUGACCAGCCUAAACGGUUAACCGUUUAUGGUUAACGGCGAACCGUUUUCUGUCCGACAGUUUGUAACGGCUAGAUUUUCGGCUCCAAAUAUAAAUAAGCUCAUUCAAAUUCAAAGAUGAUUGAUCACAACACGACCAUUUGAGCUAAUAUUCGAGAAUACAAUCUUCAUAGAGCUUAGAACAUAUUCUUGCUUCAUCUAUUCACAUAUUAAGCAUCAUUGUGUAAUCUUAUAUAUUGUGAGAGGCAAAACAAUUUAUAAUCUUUUAUUUUGAGUGAUUGUAAGUGUUGGGAUACACUUGGGUUAAGAGAUUGGGGAUAAUCUCUUGUUGUAAAGGUUCAUUGACACCUUGGAAGUCAAGUGUAAGCAUUUGAAGCCUUGGAGGCUUGCUUAGUGGAAUCCUCAAGCCCGGAAAGCUUGGAGGCGUGGACGUAGGCGAGGUUGGCCGAACCACGUAAAAAUCUCGGUGUUUGAAUCCCUCUUCCCUUAUCUUUUUAUAUUGUGAUUCUCUUAAUUGUUAUUGCUUUGAAUUUGAUUUAUAAUUGCAUUAAGAUUUUCUUUAAUAAAUUGAAUAAUUUUUUAGAAUCCCAAUUCACCCCCCCUCUUGGGUUGCAUACUUGUAUUUCAAUUGGUAUCAGAGCCUCGUUCUCUUGUUAAGACUUAAUCGUCUAGAGUAAAAGAUCCAUGGCAACCCUAAAUGACUCAACCUUUAGAGAAGGGCAAUCCACAACUAGACCACCAUUUUUCGAUGGUAAUGACUAUGCUUAUUGGAAAACUAGAAUGAGAAUUUAUUUGCAAGCCUUAGAUUAUGAAAUUUGGGAAGUUGUUUGUGAUGGUCCAUUCAUGCCUACGUUCAAAGAUGAAGUAGGAGAUGAUAUUCCUAAACCAUCGAGUCAAUGGAGUGAGUUAGAAAAGAGAAAGAUGUCUCUAAACUCCAAGGCUAUGAAUGCUUUGUUUUGUGCCCUUGAUAAGAAAGAAUUCCAUAGAGUAUCUAGUUGUGAAAGUGCACAAGAGAUAUGGAACAAACUUGAAGUUGUCUAUGAAGGGACAAAUCAAGUGAAAGAGUCUAAAAUCAGUAGAUACACUCGUCAAUAUGAGUUGUUCCAAAUGGAACAAAAUAAAAAUGUGUAUUCUAUGUAUACUAGAUUCACGGACAUAGUGAACACCCUAGGUGCCUUAGGGAAAACCUUCUCAAAUAGUGAGAAAGUUAAGAAAAUCAUUAGGUCUCUUCCAAAAGAAUGGAGACCCAAAAGAACCGCUAUUGAAGAGGCCAAAGAUUUAAAUACUUUACCUCUUGAUGAUUUAAUUGGUUCUCUUAUUUCGUAUGAAGAGGAUUUAGCUGCAGAAAGAGGACAUGAGGAGAAGAAGAAAAGCAUUGCUCUCAAAGCUUCAAAAUAUGAGAGUGAUGAGGAGAGUGAACCGGAUGAUGAAGAACUAGCCAUGCUAGCAAGGAGGUUCAGAAAAUUCUUCAAGAAAACCGGAGAGCGAAGAAAUUUCAGAAACUUCAAGAACUAUAGGGAGAAGAAGGAGGCAAUCACUUGCUAUGAAUGCAAGAAGCCUGGACAUAUAAGAUCGGAGUGCCCACUUAUCAACAAACUCAAGAAGAAAGCAAUGGUUGCAACUUAGGAUGAUAGUGAGGAAGAAUCAAAUGAUGAAGAAGGAUCGCAAGAAGUAUCAAACCUAGCACUCAUGGCAAUAGGAGGAGAUGAUGAUCUCAAUGAGGUAAGUGAUCCUACCUAUGAUGAAUUAUAUGAUGCUUGUCAAGAUUUGCAUAAUGAGUUAAUGAAAAUUGGUAAAAAGAAUGUAUGUCUUAAAAAGAAAAUGGCAAAACUUAAAAAUGAAAAUGAAUCUCUAAAUGCAAGAAUUGUAUGCCUAGAAGUAGGAAACAAAACAUUGCAUGAUGAAAUUGCAUUAUCAAAUGAGAAACCUAGCAUCUUACAUGAGCAUUUGAAAUCACACAUAGAUGAGUUGAAAAAUGAGAACGAAUUGCUCAAGAAAAAGAAUAAUGAAUUAAAUGAAAUUGUUUUGAAAUUUACAAAUGGGCAAAAGAUGUUGGAUAAUAUGCUUAACUCACAAAAAUGUGUUUUUGAUAAAGGAGGACUUGGAUAUAAGCCAAAUUUGAAGCAAAAGUAUUAUAAGAAUUAUUUUGUUAAAGCUACCUCCCCAAAUGAUCAUAAGAUUGUAUGUCAUUAUUGUAAUCAAAAUGGUCACAUGAAAUUUAAAUGUCCCGUGAAAAGGAAUGCAUAUUAUGGUGUCAAGUGCAUUUGGGUUCCAAAAGGAACCGUUGCUAACUCUCAAGGACCCAAAAAGCUUUGGGUACCUAAAACUUGAGACUUUUUCUUGUAGGGCUUGAAGAAGAAGAAGAAUAAAUGGUACUUGGACAACGGUUGUUCAAGGCACAUGACCGGAAACUAUGCAUGGUUCUCAAACUUUUCCAAAAUUGAAAAUGGUGGAGACGUAUCCUUUGGAGACAACUCAAAAGGAAAAAUUCUUGGAAUUGGAAAUGUUGGUAAAGUUUCUUCAACUCUAAUUGAGAAUGUAUGUUUGGUUGAAAACUUGAAACACAACUUAAUUAGCAUUAGUCAAUUAUGUGACAAAGGUUAUAAAGUUAUCUUUGAUAAAUUUAGUUGUGUUAUUGAGAACUCAUGUGAUGGCAAAACCUUAUUUGUUGGAAAUAGAUGUGGUAAUGUUUAUAUCAUUGACAUAAAAUGUGCAUCUACUCUUGAUAAAUGUUUUUCGGCAUUGCAUGAUGAUUGUUGGUUGUGGCAUAGAAGGUUAGGAGAUGCAAGUAUGGAUUUGAUUUCAAAAAUUUCGAAAGAUGAUUUAGUUAAAGGUCUUCCGAAAAUUGGUUUUCAAAAGGAUAAGAUUUGUGAAGCUUGUCAAUUUGGAAAACAAAUUAAAACUUCUUUCAAGAAUAAAAACCAUAUUUCUACUUCAAAACCACUUGAACUUCUUCACAUAGAUCUUUUUGGGUCAUCUAGAUAUGCAAGUCUAAAUGGCAAAUAUUAUGCUUUUGUGAUAGUGGAUGAUUAUUCUAGAUAUACAUGGGUAUUAUUCUUAGCCAAUAAGGAUGAUGCUCUUGAUGCAUUUAAAGUGCUUUGUAAGAAAUUACAAAAUGAAAAAGGGCAUGGUAUUGUAUGCAUUAGGAGUGAUCAUGGAGGAGAAUUUGAAAAUCAUGCAUUUGAGAGUUUUUGCAAUAAUCUAGGCAUUGAGCAUCAAUUUUCUUCACCUAGAACUCCACAACAAAAUGGAGUUGUUGAGAGAAAGAAUAGGUCUAUUCAAGAAAUGGCUAGGACCAUGUUAAAUGAAAAUGCAUUACCAAAAUAUUUUUGGGCCGAAGCCGUCAACACCGCUUGUUAUGUUUUAAAUCGGGUGUUGAUUAGACCUAAUCUUAAUAAAACUCCAUAUGAGCUUUGGAAAGAUAGAAAACCCAACAUUGGCUAUUUUAAAGUUUUUGGAUGCAAAUGUUUUGUUCUGAACACAAAAGACAAUCUUGGUAAAUUUGAUUCAAAAUUCGAUGUUGGUAUUUUUCUUGGUUAUUCAAAUUCAAGCAAAGCUUAUAGAGUUUAUAACACAAGAACUUUAGUUGUGGAAGAAUCUAUGCAUGUCACAUUUGAUGAGUCUAACCCCUCCUCUACGAAGAAAGUCGUUGUUGAUGAUGAUGUAGGAGAAGAAGAACAAGAAGAAGAAGCAUCAAAUGACAAUCAAGAGGAUGCACUACAUGGAAUUCAAGAGGAACAUCAUGAAGAAUCAAUGUGGAGCAAAAUGAAGGUACUUCUCAUACACUCCCCAAGGAGUGGAGGUAUGUCUCUUCUCACCCUAAAGAUGUAAUUUUAGGAGAUCCCUCAUGAGGUAUAACAACUAGAUCAUCACUUAGAAAUACUUGUGAGCAUAAUGCAUUCAUCUCUCAAAUUGAACCAAAAUCCUUUGAGGAUGCAGAAAAUGAUGAAUUUUGGAUUAUGGCAAUGCAAGAGGAGUUAAAUCAAUUUGAAAGAAACAAUGUGUGGGAACUAGUUCCUAAACCUGAACAUCAAUCUAUAAUAGGUACUAAAUGGGUGUUUAGAAAUAAGAUGGAUGAAUCCGGUGUGGUUGUAAGAAACAAAGCUAGAUUAGUGGCUCAAGGUUACAACCAAGAGGAAGGAAUUGAUUUUGAUGAAACCUUUGCACCUGUAGCAAGGUUAGAAUCCAUUAGGAUGUUGUUAGCAUAUGCAUGUCAUAAGGAUUUUAUUUUAUAUCAAAUGGAUGUCAAGAGUGCUUUCUUGAAUGGAUAUAUUUUGGAGGAAGUUUAUGUGAAACAACCUCCUGGUUUUGAAAAUGAAAAAUUUCCAAAUCAUGUGUAUAAGUUGCUCAAAGCCUUGUAUGGAUUAAAACAAGCACCUAGAGCAUGGUAUGAUAGACUUAAAAAUUUCUUGCUAGAAAAUGACUUCUCUAUGGGUAAAGCGGAUACUACUCUUUUUGUUAAGCAUAAGAACCAAGACAUACUUAUUGUUCAAAUUUAUGUUGAUGAUAUCAUUUUUGGUUCUACUAAUGAGUUGUUGUGUAAAGAAUUUUCAUUGUGUAUGAGCAAAGAAUUUGAGAUGAGUAUGAUGGGAGAGUUGAAAUACUUCCUUGGACUUCAAAUCAAACAAAGCGGGGAAGGAAUUUUCAUAAAUCAAGCCAAGUACGUAAAGGAUCUACUCAAACGAUUCGGCAUUGAUGAUUCAAAGACCAAGAAUACACCAAUGAGCACAACAACCAAGCUGGACAAAGAUGAAAAAGGUAAAGAAGUGGAUAUCAAAAUGUAUCGAGGUAUGAUCGGAUCCCUACUCUAUUUGACUGCAAGUAGACCCGAUAUCAUGUUUAGUGUAUGUUUGUGUGCAAGAUUUCAGUCUUGUCCCAAGGAAUCUCAUUUGCUCGCUGUUAAAAGAAUUUUCCGUUAUUUGAGUGGAACCAUAGAUAUUGGCCUUUGGUAUCCUAGGGGAACUCAUAUAGAUUUAACAUGUUUUUCGGAUGCGGAUUUUGCUAGUUAUAAAGUGGAUAGGAAGAGCACUAGUGGAACUUGCUAUAUUCUAAGACACUCUCUUGUUUCAUGGUUUAGCAAGAAACAAAAUUCUGUUGCACUUUCAACUACUGAGGCUGAAUAUAUAGCUGCCGGAAGUUGUUGUGCACAAGCACUUUGGAUGAAACAAACACUUAGAGAUUAUGGCAUUAAUCUUGAACAAAUUCCUAUUAAGUGUGAUAAUACUAGUGCUAUAAACCUUUCAAAGAAUCCCAUUCAACAUUCUCGAACCAAGCAUAUAGAAAUAAGACAUCAUUUCUUGAGAGAUCAUGUUCAAAAGGGAGAUAUUGCAUUAGAGUUUAUUUCCACGGAAAAACAACUUGCCGAUAUUUUCACAAAACCGCUUUGCGAAGAACAAUUUUCAAAAAUUCGGCAUGAACUUGGGAUGAUGAAAUUUUUGCAUUAACAUCUCUAUUCAUGCUAUUGAGUGUACUGAAUUGAUUGAUUACUAUUUAUGAAAUGCUUGAGCUUGGUAGACAAAUGAUGAAUUUGCAUUAAUAACUCUUGAUUAUAUGAAUUGAUUGGUUGAAAACAUGUCCAUGAAUCAUGCAUUAAACUGGCUCAUAAAAUAUUUUCAGAUCAAUUAAAUGAUCUUGGAAUAUAUUAUUUGCUGGCCAAAAAUUAAAUCAAAUGUGCGAAAUUACAGAUUGAAUAAACGGUUAGCCGUUUCCUAUAAACGGAUCACCGUUUAAUUCCAGAAACGAGAUUAUGUGUCUGCCCGUUUACCCUUUCACCGUUUUCCACAAUCGGUGAACCGUUUUUCAACAGAGAGUCCUCUAACAGUUACUCCUUAGUCGUUAAGCGCUUAGGCUUUCACCGUUUCCCUUUCUUCAGCCUCUGGACGUUACCCUUUCACCGUUUCAAUAAACGGUUAACCGUUUUCGCGAAGUAUAUAAACUGUUUAAAGGUUUUCUUCUCCUUCUCCAGUUACCCUCUCACCGUUUCCUCCAUUGUUGCGCAGCCGAAGGUCUCUUUGUCCUCAAAUCCUCAUUUUUCUUGAUUUCCGUGCCAAAUCAAAUCCUCAAAAUCAUUUCUUAUCACCUUUAGAACAUUUCUACCGAUUCAAAACUUCAAAUCGAACCCAAAAUUCAAAAAUCCCAAAUCUAAACCCUAACUGUCGCGAGUCGGGUUUCUCUGUCCUUAAUCUGAUUUCCACCUUUCUUCAACCAAAUUAAACAUCCUACUCACAUCUUCUACUCCUCAUUACGUGUUUCCAUGGCUGAACCUCCUCGGAGAAAUCUCAGACGUAAAUCUGUGCCUCCAAGGAAUCCCAUACCACCUCGGGACGUCUCGGAAUUUGCAAGGAUUCACUUCCCCACUCCUUCCUUGGCCAAGCGAUUCGAAGAACGCUUCAAUGGUCGAAAGGUACUUGACUCCUUCUUUGUUGACAUUGAUGAUUUCCAUAAUUUGGUUGUAUGUGGUAGAAGCAUUUGGGAUAUGCUUCGGCCUUGGGAGUCUGGCAUUGAUUUUGAUGACCGAGUUUAUCCAAACUUAGUGCGAGUCUUUUAUUCGAACAUGGAAAUCUCCAAUACUCGUCCAAAUAGGAUAGUCACUCAAGUCGGCCGUGUACCCAUAGAAUUUGAUGAUGCGGACUUAGCUGACUUUCUAGGUAUCUCUUGUGAGGGGAUUGACAUCUACACUUCUAGGAAAACCCUCUCCUUUGAUACUUUUUCUCAUACUCACGGCGUCCGUAAUAUAUGUCGUCGUCGAGACUUAUCGGAUGAUAUCUGUCAGCUUCCAUUUCGGUCUCAACUUUUACCGCUCCAAGUUCGUAUUCUUCACUCUAUUCUACAGCACAUAGUGACUCAUAGGAAGGGUCACUCGGAUGAGGUUACGAGGUUAGACGUCGCCUUAUUGGAUAGCCUUAUUACAGACCGUCCCAUUAACCUCGGGUAUAUUAUUGUGCGACAUAUGCUGAGUACUCCAGUGGUCAACCACCGCUUGUUUCCCUACGGCAGUAUCAUCACUAAAAUACUGCGACGCUUUGAGGUGCCACUUCUUGAUACUGGACAUAUGGAGACUCGACGGAUUGGUUCCGAGGCAGUAACCAGUAUCGGAUUCUCUAGAAAGAAUGGAGUGUGGAUAAAGACAAGCAACUCCAAAAACCGGGAUACCUUGAUUGCUCCAGAGGACGAUCGGAUGCUCAAUGAUGUCUAUCGUCCCGACCAGCUUCCUGACUUUAGACUAGGCGCUCAUCCUCAUCCUCCGCGUCGCCGUUUUGUUCCUCAGCCUCCAGCUGACUCAGACUCUGAGGAGCGUGCGAUGGAUGCUGAUAUUCCCUCCUCUUCCGAGCCGCCUACUGCUCCUGAGCCUUCUGCUGUUCCCGAGCAGCCAUCUGCCUCUAUGCCGCCUCCAGCUCCAGUUCAGCCCCCUGCUUCAGACGCAGUGCAGCAGCUGAUCUCUGAUGUUCAGCGGAUUUCGGAGCGCCAGCAGCUAAUUCUUGAUCGGUUGGACACUCUUUCCCGUGACCACCAGCAGCUGCGUUCUGACUUUCAGAUAUUCCAGCGGCAGAGCCUUGAUUAGCAGAUGGAGCUUAUCGCUGGACAGCGCACUAUUCUCGGCUAUUUCGGCUAUGAUCCAAGGAGCACAUCUUCUCCGCCUCCGUAGUUUCUGAGCUUUGUCUUCGCAUAUACAUUUUACAUUCUGGUUGCUAGCAUUUUUAUUAUUAUUUUGAUUUUGAUGCAUAUGUGUGUGAUGUUCUUGAUGAUUAGCUUAUUGAUGCUUUGUGAUUGCCUAAUUGGUUGGAUAUUGUAGAAAUGGUUUAUUUGUGGAUAUUGGAGUGUUGGUAUAUUUGUGGAUAUUGAAGUGUUAUUUUAUCUUGUUCAUGGAGUUGUUGGCUUGUUGAACGCAGAAGUUAAUGUUGAUCUAAUUUUGGAAGUGUUUUAUCUCAUUUUGUAUUUAUGGUUUUACUCAUUUUUAAGGGGAAACUCUGCCAAAAUUUUUUUUUUUUUGCUUGCCAAAACCGGGCACUUUCUUUCAUGAAUUUGCGUAUUUCUUAUUUCCUCUUUCCUUUUGAUGAUGAAGGGGGAGAUAAUUAAAGUUUUUAAGAUGGUUUUUAAGUUUUUAAGAUUUUUUUUUAAAUUUUAAAUGGGGAGAUAUUUGUUUUUAAGAUGGAUUUAAAAUGGGGCAAUUUAUUCACAUUUCUCAAUUUGGCCAUACAUUUAGGGGGAGCACAUAUUAAGGGGGAGCUAAACAUUGAUUAGAAUUUGUCAUCAUCAAAAAGGGGGAGAUUGUUAACAUAAAUAUGUUAAUAAUAUUGAUUUUGAUGCUAACAAAUUUUAAAUGAUUUUUUGAUAAAAGUAUUGGAGCUAUUUCUUAAUAAACGAGAGCCUUAGUAAUCAUUCCAUUCAUGCUUCAUAAAAGAUGGACUUUAAAAUUAGAAAAAGAUUCUCUGCAAAAACUAGUUUAAAAUGCAAUUCUGGUUAUAAACGGUUCACCGUUUAUUUAAACGGUUAACCGAUAACAGCCAGAGAGCAACGUAUUUCCUAAACCUCUAACCGUUUAUGAAAAACGGAAAACACAAAAGAUGGGAAGGUUACUGGAACUUAACGGUGAACCGUUUAUUUUAAACGGUUAACCGAUUAGAACCAGAGAGCAACAUAUUACCUAAGCUCUAACCGUUUAUGCUUAACAGAAAACACCCAAGAUGGGAAGGCUACUGGAACCUAACGGUGAACCGUUUAUUUUAAACGGUUAACCGAUAACGUCCAAAAUUGAAGGUUGUCCUCCUCUGGCACUGAUUAACGAAAACUGAUAAGGCUAAAUUUGUUUUGCAGGUUACUGGAGACAAACGGCGAACCGUUUAUAUCAAACGGUUAACCAAUAAUUUCCAGAGAAGCCACUUCACGCAAGUCCUUAACCGUUUAGCGUAAACGGAUAACAAAUACUCAUUUUGCAGGUCUCUGGAAGUUAACGGCGAAAGGGCAACCCUAAACGGCAAACCGUUUAUUUGAAAUCUGGCCCAACGGUAACUUUGACCAGCCUAAACGGUUAACCGUUUAUGGUUAACGGCGAACCGUUUUCUGUCCGACAGUUUGUAACGGCUAGAUUUUCGGCUCCAAAUAUAAAUAAGCUCAUUCAAAUUCAAAGAUGAUUGAUCACAACACGACCAUUUGAGCUAAUAUUCGAGAAUACAAUCUUCAUAGAGCUUAGAACAUAUUCUUGCUUCAUCUAUUCACAUAUUAAGCAUCAUUGUGUAAUCUUAUAUAUUGUGAGAGGCAAAACAAUUUAUAAUCUUUUAUUUUGAGUGAUUGUAAGUGUUGGGAUACACUUGGGUUAAGAGAUUGGGGAUAAUCUCUUGUUGUAAAGGUUCAUUGACAUCUUGGAAGUCAAGUGUAAGCAUUUGAAGCCUUGGAGGCUUGCUUAGUGGAAUCCUCAGGCCUGGAAAGCUUGGAGGCGUGGACGUAGGCGAGGUUGGCCGAACCACGUAAAAAUCUCGGUGUUUGAAUCCCUCUUCCCUUAUCUUUUUAUAUUGUGAUUCUCUUAAUUGUUAUUGCUUUGAAUUUGAUUUAUAAUUGCAUUAAGAUUUUCUUUAAUAAAUUGAAUAAUUUUUUAGAAUCCCAAUUCACCCCCCCUCUUGGGUUGCAUACUUGUAUUUCAAGUCGAACUUUGGCUUUUGCAAGAAGGAGGAGCCGCCAGAGGAGGGAAACGCGAGACAAAGAGAAGAAAAUCUGAAGUGGUUCGACUUCCAUGGCUGGUUUUAUCUCUUUUGUUACUCUUAAUUCAAGUAUGUCUAGCUAAUUUUCUUAUACUGAGGUUAAGGAUGAAACUCUAUUCAAUGAAAUAAUUAUCUUUUUAUUUAUUUAAUUCCCUAUAUAUGUUCUUUAAUGAUUAUGAUUUUUAUUUUACAUAAUUAAUUGGAUGUUAUUAAAAUCUUUUCAUCAAUUUUGUCAUGCAUUAUUGAUUGUUGGGAUUAAUAUUCGAUUAAAUCUAUGCUUGGAUUUAUAAAGUUUAUACAUGAUUAUCUUUGAUUAUAUGUCUUUCAUUAAAUUGUUUACAUGGAGUGCUUAGGAAACUUUGACUAUUUGUUAUUCAAUAUGUUCACAUGGGAUACUUAGAUGUCAUACUAUUAAGCGGAAAAAGAACCUAUAUUAGAUUUAAUUAUUUGGGCUUAAUUGUUAUAUCCAUGAGAUGACAUAUAUUGAUUUCGAGUUAUCACUCUAAAAUUGGGGAUUAAUGAAUAUUUAGAUAAUUACUAGUUGAAUAGUGGUGGAUUCUGAAACCUUGGUAAUUUCUAUCCUAUUGAAUUCUCCUUUUCUUUAAUUGUUUUCUUAGUUUAAUUAGUUUAAUUUCUCUUAAAACUCAAUUUGCUCAACUAGGCUAGAAUUAAUAUUAAUUUUAUAUUUAAAUUAGACUUUUCAAUUUAUAACAAUCCAUGUGGGAUCGACCUCGUUAUCACUAUUUUAUUUCUAGAUUCGUGCGCUUGCGAGUUUAUUAAAAUUUUCACAACAUUAGUUUAAUCUUUUCUACUGCAUGGCACCUCUUUACUCAAAUAUCAAAUGAGCUUGCUCUUCACGUGACGCUAAAUUUACCAAACUUUAUUUUUUUCCUUAAUUGGCUCGUGUAGGACAGUCGAGGUGUCAUUUUUUUUUUUUUCACCGUUCAACUUCUUAUUUAUUAUUCUUAUACCGCAUGUCAGCUUUCAAUUAGUCCAAAAAUAUCCUUCAAAUUUUACCUCCAAACAAAUCUAAUAACCUCUUGAAAACAAAAAAUUAAAAAUUUAUUCAAUCAUUCAAUGUUAAGGAAAUUGGCCAAGUAAUGGAAUGCUAACAAACCGAAUUAAAUUUCCACAUUUAUUUUUUUUUCUCAUGCAUGCUCUACUAAAAAUAUUUGAUGUCGUGCUAAUGCUCACUGCAAAGUAUAUAUUAGAUGCUCGCGCAUAUACCGUAGGCUAUAGCUAUACAAAAACUUAUACUUGCGUUCUCGAAUGCACACACUUGCACGCAAAAUUCUAUUAUUGAGAGUCGCUGCUUUCUAUAACACGGCCUUUUUCUAGCCUUUCAUUAGACGUGGUUUCAAUUUAUUGAACCAUUAGAGGGACACAUCAGUAGUCACAAAAAUGCCCCUCUGUAGAACCUGAAGGGAACUUCAGUAGCUCAAACACCUUCAGCCUCUGCCCAAGAUUCAAGAUCAGAUUCCUAGAUGCUUGACUAUAGAUGACUUGAAAAAUGUUUAACCAAGAACUUCAAGUGAACAGAACAAUCAAUGGUUUAAGAAUCAAAGAAUCGAAAAAAAACUAAAGAAUAAAGAACAGAGGAGAUUUAACGUGGUUCAGCUAAAACACUUAGCUUACAUCCACGGAGGAACAAGACUUCAGGCUUUUAUUGAAUGAACUCAAGAUUACAGAGAAUUACAGAUUGUAUCUCAUGGAAAUUACUACCUAUUAAACCCAGGAGUAACCCCCUUUUUAUACUCAUAAAUUGUAGCCAGCUAUCUGCACCAGAAUCAGCUCCUUUUCAGUUGCUGAUAACUUCCUGGAAACUAAUCCAGAUGCUCACGUGCAAGCCAUGCUUCAUUAACGACUUUAACGGCUUCUUUCAUUCGAAUCCAUUCACGUGAGUCUCAGGUGUUUCACUUAAGUCAAACGACAUUCCAAGACAUCGUUUCACUUAGCUUUGGUUUACACACCGAAACGCACUCUGUCAAGUCGUUUUGAAUGCCACUGAAUUGCUUUCAAUGGUUACUUUACACCCUCUAAAUGGCAAUUCUUUUAAUCAUUUUGCUGCCGCUCUUCCUUCCAGUCCCAAGUACACAGCCCAAACUUCAAUUUUCUCUGGGAAUAAUGAAUCAUGGCUCAGUCUCAAUAUGUCUUCCAUAUUCCAUGGAACGAGCCAAAGGAGGAGUACUUCUAUAGUUAGUAGCAACUAGCAAUCAUAUUGAUUCUUGAAGGAAUUUUCUGCAUCAGAUAAAGAAAGAGCAGCAGAGAACAAAGCUGUUAAUCAAUCAACACAUGUAAAGCAGUAUUAGUAUUUCUGCCUUAUUGUAGUGCCUAAGUGGGUAUUAGGAUUUCUCCACAAGAACGUUUACUAAGAUAUUCAGCCAAGUGUGAAGUUCAUCAAUAAUCAAUCUUUUCUGGAAAUAAACGAAACAUAUUGAGUGCCAGACUUGUCCAGCCUCUGAAACAGGAUUUCAGAGCAAGCAACAGAACAAAGACAGAAAAUACAUUCAACUGAACCCAACACCAGAAAGCAUCACAAAUAUUAUUUAUUUUUUGUACACAAUUAACGAACCGCCGUUGAAGCACAAAUCAAUGAACUCUCAACUGAAAAUCCGAAACGAAAUUUCUUAUUUAUGAAUAGACAGCGGAAACAAAGAAACCAAAAAAAAUGUCCACCGCCGUAGGAUCAGGAUUUAUUUGUGUAGACAGUAGAAGUGAAGACGGAAAGGAUUCUGGUAGAAAUUGAAGUUCGGGCUGCAGUUAUGAUGUUUUCUUCUCUGAUUUCACCUACACAAGUCAUUGAAGAAAUUGUGAAAAAUAAGAAUUUUAAAUUACAUUUUUUUCCUUAACUAUUAAAACAAAUGAACGCCGAUGUCUGCUAGGCUCAUGGUUGAAUGUGGUCUCCAUUGCUGCUAAAGAGGGCUUGAUGAUUGGGGUGAGUAUCGGAAACACUUUGUAUAACCAUUUUUGUAUUGAAGACAAGGGGAAAAAAAGUAUAUGAAAUUGGAUAAAUAAUUAAAAUUUGAAGAAAUUGGGUAAAACGAGAAACAUACAUCAAAUUCAAUAGGGGCUAAUCAAAUUCCGUAAGGAUAUAGUUGAAUGCCGCACUGUUCCUUGUCCUCAAAUUCCCGUAGCUUUUGUCUCAGCUCUGGCUGAGGCCACCAGCAAUCGAACUUGUUUAAGCUCUUUAUGCACCAGAGCUGUUCAGGCAUCUUUUUCAAGUAAGCACAAGGGUUGAUAAUCAAGCAUUCUAGUUUUGGCAUGGCUCCAAUCCCCAUAGUCCACUCCCCUAGCCAUAGCAUUGAUUUCAGGUGCAAUACCUUGAGAUUUGGAAAACCAUAAGAGCCACAAGUCAGCUUUCUACCUUGUGAAGAAAGCUCAUUGUGCUGAACUGAGAAAAGAGAGGAAGUCAGAAGCUAAGGUUCAUCAGCAAUGCCACGUCAACAAUGCUGAGUCAGCUGAUUCUGUUAAGCAACAAUGAGAGCUCACGUGUGUUGCAGUUAGUUAGUAUUAGCUAACCUCUUACUGAUUAGUUAGUUAAAUUUCAGAGUAAUAUAGAUUAGUUGAUAUAGCUUUUACUAACAAAAUAUGUAACUAUAUAAAGUCUGGAGUUUUACUCAUUUGUUAUUAAUAAUAAACAAUCCAGUAUAUUCAUCAUAUUUCUCUCUGUUUUCUUAGUAACCAAACAACAUUUUCGAUUCAAUUUUUCAUGGUAUCAGAGCUAGAAAUAUGGCAAGCUCAAGCAAUUUAAACACAAAUCCAAACGCAACAAACAUGAAUCAAUCAAUACAAACUACCUUUUCAUUUAUUACGCCAAUCAAAUUGGAUAGAUCCAAUUAUAUGCUCUGGCGAAAUCAAGUAUUAGCUUCCAUAAGAGGAAACAGACUCGAAGGCUAUAUCAAUGGAGAAAAAGCAGCACCUACUCAGUUUCUUACUUCUGGAAGCUAUGCUGAAACAAUGGGAAGAGUUUCACAACAAGUUGAAAAUCCAGAAUACACGAUCUGGAGAUCACAGGAUCAAACAUUACUAAGCUGGCUAUUAAGCUCAAUUACUGAAGGUAUUCUCAGUCAUGUUCAUUCUUGUAAUACUGCAUAUGAUGUGUGGAAAACUUUGGAGAAAAAGUUUGGUGCAAAAUCAGAAGCUAGAGUUCUUCAACUCAAAUAUGAGAUGAGUGUUUUGAGAAAAGAUUCGCUAAAUAUAGAGGAUUAUUGUUUGAAAAUGAAACAAAUAGCUGACAAAUUAACCUGUGCUGGUAGUCCAGUUUCUGAUAAAGAUCUGUUACAACAGAUUCUUAAUGGUCUUGGACCAGGCUAUCUAGAUUUAGCAACUUUCAUUACUGCAAGUAAGCUGGAUUUUGAUGAUUCAUAUGCAUUGCUAUUGACACAUGAAACAAGAUUAGAACAGAGUCUAAAUGAAAAACAGAUGCUCAAUGCAAAUCUUGCUAAUGUUUCUCAUAAUAACAAUAGCUAUGGUAUGAUGAAUGCUUAUUAUGCUCAAACAAGAGGUAAUGCUCGAAGAGGUGGAUAUAAUGGAGGAUUUCAUGGUGGAAAUCAAUUUGGAAGGAAUAAUUUUCAUACUGGAAAGGGAAUGUUUAUCAAUUCUCAUCCAAGAGGAUUUCCUUCUGGAUCUGGAAAUUUUGGUAAUAAUCUUGGUAGAGGUCAAAUGAUUGGAAACAACAAUAAGCAGACACAAUUCAUGAGAGGACAAUAUAGUAUUAACUCUGGUUUGUCAAAUCCUGAUGGUAGUGAUGAACAAUCUGUUGUUUGUCAAAUCUGCUUUAAAACUAGACACACAGCAGCUGAAUGUUGGCAUAGGUUUGAAGAAAACUAUAUGCCUCAACACAUGAAAAGAGGAAGAAAUCAGAGAUCAGCCUAUAUGACAUACCUUACUGCACCUUCUGAAGACUCAUGGCCUGCUACAGCUGCUUAUUCAGGGAUACCUCACAUGUAUAAUCCACCAUGUUCUUCAUACAUAUCUGAUUCAAUGAGCUUGCCUGUGGCUGGAGCUGGAGCUGCUUAUGCUGCUAACUUUGAAGGACCAGCAGAUGAAGGAUGGUAUCUUGACAGUGGAGCUACACACCAUCUGACAAAUGAUAUGGCAAAUAUGCAUGUCAGCAGUGAGUUCAGAGGUAAUGACAAGCUUAUCAUUGCUGAUGGUAAAGGUCUGUCAAUCACACAUGUUGGUAAUGCCAAUUUUAAAGUUCAAAGCUCUAAAACACAAUCUGCUAGUACAUGCAUUGCACUUAAAGAUAUACUGCUUGUUCCAUCUAUUACAAAGAACCUAAUAAGUGUUUCUAAACUCACCACUGAUAAUGACUUAUCUGUUGAAUUUCUUGGUUCUGUUUGCUUUGUGAAGGAUAUACUGAAAGGGAAAAUUCUGCUACUGGGUAUUGCUGAGAAAGGUUUAUACAAAUUGCAGCUGAGUUCAUCACCACAACCUACAUAUACAUCUUUUCUAUCCCAGAGUUCAAUAAAUAAGCCUGUAUCUAUGCUAUCUCAGUGUCAUUUCAGCACUUCAGUCAAUAGUCAUUGUUCUGGAAAAUAUUCUCAGUCCAAUAAGAACACUUGUAGCACUGAUUCAUUCAAUAAAAUGUCUUUGUUUCACAAAAGAUUUGGUCAUCCUAAUACUCAAAGUCUAAUUCAUUUACUUAAGCUUGUGCAUCCUAAUUUGUGCUCUACAAAUAUUGUUAAUCAAGCAACAAAGCAUUUCUGUGAAGCAUGUCAGCUGGGAAAAUUUCACAGACUCCACUUUCCAAUUACAGAUAUAAAAUCCAAAUCAGCACUAGAACUUGUUCAUAUUGAUUUAUGGGGUCCCUCACCAGUAUGUUCUAGAGAUGGUUUUAGAUAUUACAUUAGCUUUGUGGAUGAUUAUACAAGAUACACCUGGAUUUAUCCUUUGAAACUGAAAUCAGAAGCUCUAGAAGUGUUCAAACUGUUUAAACUUCAAGUUGAAAAUCAAUUUCAAACAACUAUCAAAAUUCUCCAAUCUGACUGGGGGGGAGAAUACAGGCCAUUCACUGCCUUCCUAAAUGAAUGUGGCAUUCUCUUUAGACAUUCUUGCCCUUACACUCACCAUCAAAAUGGCCUUGUUGAGAGGAAACACAGACAGAUUGUAGAAUUAGGAUUGACACUUCUAGCUCAAGCCAAACUCCCUUUUCAAUUCUGGUGGGAUGCUUUUCAUGCCUCAGUUUAUCACAUUAAUAGACUCCCUACUUCUGCACUUAAGAUGACCACUCCAUAUGAAAAACUUUACAAACACAAAGCUGAUUAUACCAUGCUGAAAUGCUUUGGAUGUGCUUGUUAUCCAUAUCUGAGAGAUUACAAUAAGCAUAAGUUUGACUAUCACACAACCAAGUGCAUCUUUCUUGGUUACAGCCCAUUUCAUAAAGGUUAUAAGUGUUUUCAUCCCUCUGGUCAUAUAUAUAUAGCUAGGCAUGUUGUUUUUGAUGAAUACUCAUAUCCAUUUGCUUCAGAUCCUAGCUUUCAUCCUUCAGAUAAAUCUAAGUCUGAUACAUAUUGCACAAUUACUCCUAUUCAAGUUUUUCAGUUGUCAACAUUACCUGUCAUAUCAGAUCUUUCAGUCACCAGCAAUGAAUCUUUUUCUCAAGCAUACUCCAGUGGCAACAUUUUCCCUCCAGCAGUAGUCUCAACACAGGUAACAGAUCAGCAACCCUCAAACACAGAUAGAAAUAAUUCAUCUGCACCUACAGUGUUGCCUUCUGUACCUGAUACAAUAUUAGAUCAGCCCUCAGAUGAAAUUUCCCAAAACCAACACAAUAAUAAUACCUCUCAUCUCAAUCAGACAGUGAUAACCCCACCACCAUUAAACCAACAUCCUAUGAUCACUAGAGGGAAAGCAGGUAUCUUUAAACCAAAGGUAUAUACUGCAGUAUUGUUGCAUAAAGAACCAGAUACUGCUCAGGAGGCUAUAAAUGAUGAGAGAUGGUUUCAAGCAAUGAAGACUGAAUAUGAUGCACUGAUGUCAAAUGGUACCUGGACACUUGUGCCAAGAACAGAACAUCACAAACUUGUUGGUAACAAAUGGGUGUUUCGAGUAAAAUCAAACACUGAUGGAAGUGUUGCAAAAUAUAAGGCAAGGUUGGUUGCUAAAGGAUUUCAGCAGAUAGAAGGAGUUAACUACUUUGAGACUUUCAGUCCAGUGGUGAAAGCAGCAACAGUUAGAGUGGUCCUAAGCUUAGCAGUAAUGAAUCAAUGGCAAAUAAGACAGGUUGAUGUAAAUAAUGCAUUCCUAAAUGGAGAUCUAAUUGAGGAGGUAUAUAUGAGUCAACCAGAAGGGUUUAUUGAUUCCAAAAGGCCUGAUUUUGUGUGCAAACUUCACAAGGCACUCUAUGGUUUGAAACAAGCUCCACGAGCAUGGUUUGACAAGCUGAGAAACAGUCUUAUGCAAUGGGGAUUUGAGAACUCAAAGUCUGAUUCAUCUUUGUUCUUGAAGAAGAAUAAAAGAUCAAUUAUUUUAAUCCUGAUAUAUGUAGAUGAUAUAUUGAUUACAGGAUCAAAUGGUGAUGAGCUGGAAGAUUUUAUCAAGCUAUUUAGUUCUGCAUUUGCAUUAAAGGAUCUGGGAAAGCUAUCUUACUUCCUUGGAAUAGAAGUCUUGUAUGAUACUGAUAGUGUAUAUCUAUCACAAAGGAAGUAUAUUAGAGAUCUGCUGGCUAAAGUUGAUAUGCUCGAGUGUAAAGGAAUAGACACACCAAUGAGCAGCAGCAAAGAUUACAGAUUGCAGAAGAGUGUUGAAGGAGAAAUGGGUUACUACAUAGAAGAUCCAUCUCAUUACAGAAGCAUAGUAGGAGGCCUCCAGUAUUUAGUUUUGACAAGACCUGAGAUUGCCUACUCUGUUCAUAAGCUAAGUCAGUAUGUAGCUUCACCAACACUUCAACAUCUUAUGGCUUGUAAACGUGUGCUUAGAUAUCUUAAGGAAACACAAGACUAUGGGCUGAAAUUUGUUAAAGAAGGUGAGUUGAAGGUUACAGCAUUUACAGAUGCAGAUUGGGGAAGUGAUCUUGAUGACAGAAGAUCCACUGGUGCCUAUUGUGUGUAUCUAGGGAACAAUUUAAUCUCAUGGUCCUCAAAGAAGCAAUCUGUAGUUACAAAAUCUUCUGCAGAGAGUGAAUACAGAGCACUUGCAGCAGCUGUUUCAGAGAUAACAUGGUUAAAAUCCUUAUUUCUUGAGAUUGGUUUAUGUUGUGUGGAGAAACCAGUUAUAUGGUGUGACAAUGUGAGUGCCAAAGAACUUGCUUAUAAUCCAGUGUUUCACUCAAGAACAAAACACAUAGAAAUUGAUCUGCAUUUUAUCCGAGAUAAGGUUCUAGCUGGAGAUCUUAAGAUUCUCUAUGUUCCCAGUGCAGAGCAGAUAGCAGACAUAAUGACUAAGCCUUUAAACUCUACUCAGUUCACCUAUCUGAGAGACAAACUUAAUGUGCAUUUAUGCCCCUUGAGUUUGAGAGGGGCUGUGAAGAAAGCUCAUUGUGCUGAACUGAGAAAAGAGAGGAAGUUAGAAGCUAAGGUUCAUCAGCAAUGCCACGUCAACAAUGCUGAGUCAGCUGAUUCUGUUAAGCAACAAUGAGAGCUCACGUGUGUUGCAGUUAGUUAGUAUUAGCUAACCUCUUACUGAUUAGUUAGUUAAAUUUCAGAGUAAUAUAGAUUAGUUGAUAUAGCUUUUACUAACAAAAUAUGUAACUAUAUAAAGUCUGGAGUUUUACUCAUUUGUUAUUAAUAAUAAACAAUCCAGUAUAUUCAUCAUAUUUCUCUCUGUUUUCUUAGUAACCAAACAGCAUUUUCGAUUCAAUUUUUCAUACCUGAAUACGAGUUUUGCUUCAGUUUGAGCACUUGAAGAAGCGGCAGCUUUUCUAGUGUUGGCAUGGGAUCAUCCAUUAGGUCAGUAUUAGAAAAACUCAAGUGGGUUAGACUAUGAGGAAAUAGGUAUUCAGCAAGGACGAUUUUGGAGAGCCGUGGCAUCUUGCUUUCAUUCACCAGCUUCAACGACUCGAGACAGCUCAAUCUGCAGAGACUUUUGGAAAACAAAGAUUGAUUAUAACUUAAAUCUCCCCGUAUUCGGAGAUUUCGAAGAUUAGGUAGUCUGCCCAAUAUAUCUUCAGUACAGCAGCAAGGAUGCAAGGCAGAAAUGAAAUUGAGAUUUUCCAGAGAGCCGCAAUAUUUUCCUGGAUGCGCAGGAAGUGUGAUUGACCCAAAAUUUAGAUGCCUGAGUUUUUUCAUCUUCCAAAAUUCAUCUGCUGUAUGAUCUAUAUAGCUAAUGGGCAUGUCUAGGGUGUAGAGGUUCAGAAGAUUGCUUAACAAUGAGGAAGGCAGGCUUUUGAGGGAAGGGAUAUUCAACUUCAAAUAUCUCAAAAGAAAUAAAUUUUCAAUUCCGGAUGGAUACUGGAUGAGAACAAGAGAUUCCAAGUCCAAUACUCUGAGAAGUUUGAACAUUCCACAAAUGUUCUCCCAAUCCAUGGGGUCAAAGUGGCGGGUUUCUGGAGAGCAGAACAACAAAGACUGCAGUUGCGAGUCAUAAUCAUCUAAGCAAGCAAAAUCACCCUCUCUUUCAACAGCGUUUAACCGUUUGGCAUUUUUUUGUGAUUUACCUUCUGGAUCCAUGAAAGGGGAAAAGAUAAAUUCCACCCUAUAAGGAACUGUCAUCAACACAGGAUGGCAACGACCUGGAAUAGAGCAUGUGUUGAUAGUGCCUGCAGCUUUUCUCUUCUUUGCUUCAACAAAGCCUCCCUUGAUUAGUUGUUCUAAGUAAUUCUCAGCAGUUGCCUCACUAUUGUCUGGGAUGAAACCUUCAGCUAUCCACAACUGAUAUAACUGCCUGGUGGAUAUCUCUAGGUGUGCGGGAAACACAGAUAAGUAGAGAAAACAAAGUUUCAAGCAAAAAAGUAACCUGCAAUAUUUGAAGUACCGAAGGACAAAGGGUGUCUCGAAUACUUCCUCUAUAUUUUCUUCAAAUGAGAUGCUUC